UUUUUUUAGGUGAAGUGAAGCCGGGAGGGGAGGGCCAAUCAUGUGUCGGGCCCAGCCCAAAAGGCAAUGCGACGCGAUCUCCGAUGCGGAAAAGAUGCGACGCGGAGCCGGACCCGGACCCAGUCAGAACUGCGUACCACCAACGCGACCCUGCCGCAAACAAACACGAGGGCCGGUGGGCCCCGCGCCCAUUCAAGCGCCACAAACGCCAAAGCCGGAGGAAAGAGAGCGCCAGAGAGCGGCUCGCUCUCCACCGGACGCCUCGAAGCCCGCGCACGCCGUCCACCGCUUUGUCUACUCGCCUCACGCUGCCCCACGGGCCCCGCGGCUUUCCGCCAGGUGGGACCCUGCCCCCUUCCAGUGCCUGACGCUGCGCUGUGGCCCCUCGCCGAUUUUCGUGGAAGUGGAAGUGGAAAUGGUUUCCAUCGAUUUCUUUUACGUGUGCUUAACUUUGGAAAUAUUAGUAAUUGGUUGAGAGCGCGAUAACUUUACUUGCACGAAUUAGUUAGGCCUUUUUUCCGGAAUAAUUCUGGCCGCGUUUUUCCCUGUGGUAAUAUUCUGGUUGAGUUGGCAAGGAAUAUAUGACAGGCCGAUUACGAUUAGAUCAGCCAAUGGAACGGAAUAAAAAUUGGAAUUAUACCUCCUUUUCUAGCGCCUUGUGGUAGGGAGGAAUGAGAACUUUCCUAGUCAAAAAGGGGCACAGAUUUCUCACCUAAAAAAGCAGGAUAUGUAGUAUCCUAUUCAAAAAUAAAGUAAAGUUGCUAAAUCUAAAUGAUGCAUUGCAUUUUAUUUCUUGUUUAUGAAAUAUAUAAAAUGCAACGAAUUGGAAUAAUUUCAUAGUUGGGCACCGCCUGGAAAGAGAGGGGGAAACUUCCUGCCGCCAAGAGAAUCCAACUGACAAGAGAGAGGAUAUAUAAUCCAAGUGCCAACAGAAUACAUAUCUGGAUCAAUCACAUCGCAUAUCUUAAUUUUGCCUCAGAUCCACGCGAGAUCUGACUCCCAAUGCUGUUAGAUCCAUGCAUCAACAAGGUAAUUGUGUUCUCCAAAUUUAGUAAUAUAAAUAAAUUACUAAUCACGUAAAUCAAGAUCCAGCAACAAAAUUACAGUGCAAAACAAGCAACACCAAACCGGUCAGGAUUAAGCAAGCAGGUCAGUUCUGAAAAGCGAAGCGAAUGUACGGGGGAACAUGAUAGCAGACCAUGUUCCAUCUCAACAAAGUGCAGAGCCUUUUUUCUUUACCGUUGCUAAUUUACAGUUCAGAUUUUGUGCCGAAGAAGUUCAGAAACUUUGUCGAGCAUUUGGAACGUGAUUAAUUUAAGUUUUCAGAUCGAAUCGGCACGAAAAUCGAGUAGAUAACACUAGAAAAAGCACACGGGCUCCAACACAUUGGAGUCAGGAGCACCAGACAAAGAAAGAACGCGACAAACAGGUACUGAAUCCAACGAGCACAAAUUACGGAUAAUUCAUAGCGGAGUUCAUCUCAUUCAAACGGUAAGAUAGCAGCAGACACAGGAAGAUAACCAAGGCCGCCGGACGCAGAUCCAGCGGCCCAAAGAGUCCACCUAAAACCCUCCUAAACCAACCACGGAGAUCUCAUCGGACGGACCAGGGGAAGACACGACACACGACUCUCUUAUUUAGAUCGACGACACGACACGGGACACACGGGGCGAUGACGACGACGGCGACCGGCGGGCGGGCGGAUCUAGAGCUGGCCGCAGUCGGCGAUGACGACCUGCUUGGAGCAGGUGCCGCUGCGGGAGCCCACCUUCUCGAUGUUCUUGACGACGUCCAUGCCCUCGACGACCUCGCCGAAGACCACGUGCUUGCCGUCGAGCCAAUUGCAGGGGACGGUGCAGAUGAAGAACUGGGAGCCGUUGGUGUUGGGCCCGGCGUUGGCCAUGGAGAGGAUCCCGGGCUUGGUGUGCUUGUGGACGAACUUCUCGUCGGCGAACUUCUCGCCGUAGAUGGACUCGCCUCCGGUGCCGUUGCCCCUGGUGAAGUCGCCGCCCUGGCACAUGAAGUCGGGGAUCACGCGGUGGAAGGCGCUGCCCUUGUAGUGCAGCGGCUUGCCGCUCUUGCCGACGCCCUUCUCGCCGGUGCAGAGCGCGCGGAAGUUCUCCACCGUCCGCGGCACCGCGUCCUUGUACAGCUCCAUCACGAUGCGCCCCGCCGGCGCGCCGCCGACGGUCAUGUCGAAGAACACCCUCGGGUUGGCCAUCUCGCUCGCCGGGAUCGGGGAUGAGGGCUAGGGUUUUGAGAUGGGGAUUUCUGUGCGGAUUGGAUUACCUUUGGCUUCGGGCUCUGUGAUCUGGCAAGCGGAGACCGGGUGCGAUUAAAUAGGCGGCGAGGCCCGGGGCGGGGGUAGCCCCAGCCGUCCGAUCGGGACGCGUGGCGGCAUCGGGGGGCGCCGGGGCUAACCGGGGAGGUUGGGCGGUGCGGUUCCGGGAACCGUGGUUAGGUCUAGGGUUGGGUUCCCGGUGGACGCGAGCAGCACGUGACCCAUUCCGACGCGAGGCUGUAUGACAUGUGGGGCCCGCGGAUGCCUGUCGCGGAGGGCGGCCUGCAGGGGUCCGUUGGUGUGGGGACCGGAAAUGUGGGCCCGGGGUGUCAUAAGGGGUGGGUGGACGCGGCGUCCGUGCGGAUUUUUAUUGGAUCUUUGUGGGGGUGACUAGGGUUGGGGCCAUGGUUACCCGGGGUGGUUGGGUCGGGACUAGGGUUGGGUUGGGAUACUCGCGCUUUUGGACUGCGCGCGGUCCACCAGGACCGGGUGGUGCGGCGCGCGUGAGGUCUCUGGGGAGAGUGUAUGGACCGGGUGCAGGGGAGGCUGUGGUGGGGACGAGCGGCGGAGAGAGGCCGUGGUGGGGAAGGGAUAUGCCGCCGCGCGAGUGGGCGAUAUUCUGUUCUGGCUUGGAUCGCACGCGGACUGCAUGUGCAACUGGCCCGGGACGAUUCCUUCCUGCCGGCCCAGUCCGCUCGGGUUCUGCGGCGGAGCGCCAACGGGCGGCUCAUCGGGACCGUCGAGCGUGGGUUUGGACGGCCGAGAUGCGCGUGGCGAGGGCUCUAGAAGCUUCCUUCUCAAUCUAGGGCCUGAUUGAACUGAGAUGCCUAUUUCUCUCUUCUUUUUCUGGGAGGUAAAAAUAAAAACUAUCUGGACAGAAAUAUAGAAUUUCCGUUUUUAGGUACAUACUUUAUUUUUUUGAAUCCUUGAGAUCAUGGCUGGAUUGUUGGAAUCUGCUAUGAUCAUGGACUACAUAAAUACUAAAUUUGAACUAUGACGUAACAACGAAAAAACAUAUAUACUCCAAGACAUCCAAGGCAUCUUAGUCUCUUUCUCACCAAAUCAUUUUACCUACCCCUCCAUUGCAAAAUAUUUGAAAUACUAUAUUCAUUCUAAGUUUAACUUCUCUGCUUUGACAAAGUCUAUAGAAAAAUAUGGUAAUAUCUACAAUAUCAAAUGUAGUGUACGAAAAUAUAUAUUACAAUGAAUGUAAUGAAACUAAUUUGGCGUUGUAGAGGUUGACAUAUUUUUCUACGCCCCCUCUCAUGAACAGUAACCACAAGAAGCAAAAUGGAAGGAUCCGCCAAAGGCCGGAUCAGCGGUCCCUCCCUCUUCGGUCAUAGUUGCAGCGGUGGGGGAGUGGAGGGAGCUUCGAUCCGUGUGGAAGAUGUCUAGAUACUAGGGUUAGGCUACUCGGCGGCACUAACAAGGUGGUGGUGGUGGCAGCGUCAAUAAUGGUGUAGGAGCUUGUUCCCCGUCUCAACAACAAGGUCACAUGUGGGUGGAUUCGCUGGCCUAAAUCCGUCCCAACUCGCAAAGCUGAGAAACCAGCCAACCGCCGCCUCAAAAAAUCUAGAGUUUUUUUGCCUCCCUCCGGCGCCGGCGCCGAUCCAUCCCGUCUCCGGUGGCCUGAGGGCCAUGAAGGCGGAGUGGAUCUCGGCCUUUGCCGGUGGGAGGACUCCGUUUUUAGAUAUUUUUUCGAGUUCUGUUAGGGUUUGUGUCCUGCUCAGGAAGGCGAGACGGCGGCGGCUCCCUGAAGAUGGAAUAAAGGUCUCCCCGCCUAGCUCCCGUUCCGGUGAUGCGUCUAGCAUCAUCGGUGGGCGUGUGGAGGUGUGUCUUCGGCGGAUAUGUCUUUGGUGGAUUUGCUCGGGAUCUGUUCGUUGUUCGUCUUCGUUUGUGUGUCUUCAGGUUGGAUCCUUUUGAUCUACACUCUUCAUCCGCGGCGGUUGUUGUUUUGGCGCGUUGGUUCUAUGGGGCCUUAGCACGAUGACUUCCUGACUGUCUACUACAAUAAGGUUUGCCCGGCUCCGGCGAGGGAGGGGCGAUGACAGUGGCGCACCUUCGGCUCGCUUCAGUGCUUGUAGUUGUCGCUAGGUCGUCUACGGAUCUGGAUGUAAUUUUUAUUAUUUCUAGUGUUCGUUGUACUACCAUGAUUGAAGAUGAAUAGAUUGAAAGUUUUCUCGAAAAAAAAACAAGGUCACAUGUGGCGUCAUCGACGAGCUUCUGACGUUGUUUGCUCCCUGAUCUGUCGAUUCGGUGGCCGAUGUGUUCUAUAGGCGUGGUCUUCGCAACGGAGGGACGCCGUACGGGGAGAGAUUUUGUCCCUCGCCCCUGUCUUCGCCAUGGCAAGUUUGAUCCUUAUCUUGUUGUGGGGUGUUGGGGGGUGGUGCUGGUGACUGUCGCCGGUGUUUUUCGCCACCCUUCAUGGACUUCAGAGUUGUGAUGUCGCUGACGUGGUGAAGUGAUGGUUAUCUCUCCUCUUCCUUUAAUGUGGUGGCUCUCUUGGGCCGGCGAUGAAAACUUCUCAUCCGUGUUCUAUCGAGCUGUGGAUUCCAAGGUCACACGGUCUCCAGGUGAGAGCGGUGACAAUGAUAACGGUAGCGCGUGGGCAACCCAUGGUGGAUUUAUCUCGUCGAAAGCUUGGAUCAUACGAGACCCCAGUCACCCCACCCCAUUUAGGGAGCAGAAGUUGGAUCGGUAGCCCUAUCGUCGCCUCCACCAUGGAUGGUAGUACGAAGACCGCACGGUUGACCACCAUUUCUUAUGCGUGAGCAGCAACAGACAACCCAUCAACGACAUAGCGCGAGUCGCCUUGCGGGGCAGAUCCAGGUGAAAGUCUCCUACCUAAGCUACUAUACACAAUAGAGACCCAAACUCCUCUCCCUCCACCACUCUGGGCGAUGAGGUCGCUGGAGGAAGAGGGGAGGGGUUUCGGAGGAACCAAGACGGCUCUCAAUGGUGGGAUGGGUAGAUGAGAGAGAAACGAGAGAGGAUAAAUGAGCCCCUGACAUGGGAACAUCACUGCAUCCAUUGUGUGGCAGCAUUUAUGCUUAUGCGGAGCUCUUACAAUUGAAGGAAGAAAUUGUGAUAAGUUCAAUCAUCCAUCACAUCAUAGAUCAUUCCCCACAUACACGGCUUCGGCCGAAAUGCCAUUUCGGUCAUGCUCGUCCAGACGUCUUUAUUCUGUCCAAGCGACAUGAUCUUGACAUAUACCAUUGCAACUACGAUUUGAAAGGCAUUGCAUUCGAUUCUCUUUUACGGCUCCUUUAUUCUCCAUGGUUGUUUUUGGAAUCUCAAUAUGCUUUGGAAAUUGUUCUUUCGGUGUUGAUUCUGUCCACAUGCAUCACAAAAACGGAUGUUCAUUGCCGAGAGAAUGCCAAAGGUGUGGCACAUGUGGUACAUUGUUCUCAUCUUUCUUGUUUUGUGGUCCGGCAUGCAAGCUGUGCAUGUACAAACAUGUGAUUGCAAUUGACAUCUUCAUCAAAUUGUAGUUUUGCACUCGAAAAAGGCCACCAUAACAGAAAGAAUUGCACGAGGAUGACUGGCACCUAUGCCACCGACCAUAGAGGUCCAUGGGCUUGUUAGUCGUUGCCACUUUAAUGUUGGCAAAACUUGAUUGUCGUUAGCCAUUACUAACACCGUGAAGCUCGUAACCAAAUAAAAUCUAUAGAAAAAACAUAAUCUUUAUCUUUUUAAAAAACACCUGUAAUUUUAUGCAUACUCAACAAUUACAGGUACACUGAUUUAGAUUUAAGAUAAAAAAAAUACAAAGUAACUCCUAUAACUAAGAUACAUGAAAUCUCUUGGAAACACUUUCUUCACGGUAUUAAUCUCUGUCAGAAGAAAUUCUUCAAAGACUUUGGUAAAUAUGCUGCAAUUGGACCGAAGCAACAAUGUUGUCCCUCUUUCACCCGCACAAACAUUAUCAAUAAUGGUUUUUGAAAGCGCUUUGAGUCACCCAUCCAAGAAGAUGGAAAGCCUUGAUUGAUGAACGUACUUGGGCCGGAGAUAAUCCCAUAGAAGUGCAGCUCGUUGAAUCAUGAUAUCUUCAUCAUGGUGUCGAUGAAAGAUUUUCACCUCCACAAAAAUGUUUGUGCUUUCAAUUUUUUGGGGAAAUUCAAAAUUGGCUCAUGCUUUUAAAAACUUAUUCAGCAUUUUAAAAAUUCAUUUUCAAUUUUUUUUAUAAAUUCAAAAAAUGUACAGGAUUUUCAAAAAAAUGUUUUUUGCUUUCUAGAAAUUGUUCUGAAUGUUAGAAUUCCUGUUGUUUACAAUUUUUUUCUCAAAACUCUAAUAAUGUUUGGAACUUUCAAAAAAGUUCAGGUUUUUCAAAAAUUGUUUGCGGUUUCCCAAAAUGUUUGAUUUAUUUAGAAAAUACUAGUGUUUUCAUAUUUUUUUGUAAAUUCCAAAAAUAUACGAGAAUUUCAGAAAAAUGCUAUUUUUUCUGUAAACUGUUCAGAAUGUUAAAAAUAUUCCUCUUUUCAAUUUUUUCUCAAAAGUCAAAAAAUGUUUGGGAAUUAUUUAAAAUGUUCGUGCUUUUGAAAAAUUGUUCAUAAUUUCCAAAAUGUUCCCAUUAACAAGUUUUGUUCUCUAAGUUCCAAAAUAUCUGCAUUUUUUCAUAAAAUAUUUAGGAUUUUGAAAAUGGUUCCUGUCAAAAAAGGCAAGGUUUUAAGAAAAAAAUAUUUUUCAAAGUUUGCUAGAGUUGGUGAAAUAAUUGCUGGAUUUUCAAACAUUACUUGCUUUUAAAAAAAUAUUCAUAAUUUCCAAGUUAAGAUGUAAAAUCCAAAAGCUGCCUGGAUUAUGUGUUGUAGUUAGUUCUUAAGGUGGUACGCUCCUCUUUAGCCAUGAAUCUCUUAUAGGUUGACUGGUUAGUAGUUACACUUUCUAAGGUGGAGGUGCCGUAGAAAAUGCAUAUAUCCAUCCAUCACCAAGAUAUCGAAAGGAGUGGUCAUGCAUAUGUUUUCCUGACCAAGAUAUCAAAGGGGUUUUCUUUUCCAGGUCGAGUUUGUUCACCUGCUUUGAAUAAUAUACGGAUGUAUGCGGUUAUCCUCCUUUUCAAAAGAAAUAAUGUUUCCCUUUUAUAUAUAACCAGGAGCGGAGGCAGGAUUGGACUAAGCCUUGAGAGCGGGUUUCAUAUAGGGUGUAUAACUGUAUAUACACACAUAGACCAAAAGUUCCCCUCCCACAUCAGGCCGAUUGCGAAGAGAGAGAGAGGGGAGAGACAUGGAACAGUCAACAGUGAAAUGAGGAACCUAAUGGAUGCCCGAUGGGGGCUGAAGGAGAGGAGGAAGCGGGAGGAGGAAACCUACAAUGGCCAAGACGAUCAAAGACCAGGCACCCCUGCCGGCCGGUGUAGACGAGCGAUCCUUUGCCAUGGCAUUGUCUGCGAAGCAUAUUUCCAUAGCGCAAGGUGCUGAACGGGAAAUGAGCAUCAAGUGGGAAAUAAACUAUGUCUCCGAGGUUCAGCAUUGACCAGCCCUUCUUCGUUGUCGCCGCCUGAUUUGCAAUCAGCACUUUCAUGUCUCCCGUUCCCCAUGUUCCACCAUCGCCAUGGCUGUGGCUGGCCCUUUCUCCUCCUCCUCCUCCUCCUCCUCCUGGGUUUCCCCUUUGAUGAAUCUUCUCUCUUGCGCGGAGAAGCAGCGGCCGCCGGUAGCCAUAGGGUCGUCCUCUACCCGGAGUCCGCGACGGUCUCGUCCAUCGUGAGCAGCAAGUACAGGACCGCCUUCCAUUUCCAGCCCCCCAAGAACUGGAUCAACGGUACAUAUGCGCUCAUCUCUACACCUUCUUUUGUGUUUCUCCCAUAUGUAAGUGCAGGUCCUAUCUUCCCCAUUUCUGCUGCGGUUUCCCUUUGAUUUGCUGCCUGAAAUGUGUCGCCGGACAUUUUGACUGCUAGUCUGAACCUUCACUUGAUUGCAUUGUAAAUUAAUGUUAUCGCCAAUGCGCUAGUGGUACCUGAUGAUGCCUCGCUUGUCUUUAUGGUCUGGAGAAGCUUACUUGUCAGAUAAUUUAGCUUCUUCACCUGCCUUCAGUUUUCCCCUUUGGCCUCUGCAAUGUCAGAAACAUAUUUGUAUAAGCAUUUAGGUCCUGGAUUCUAUAUCUAACAUUUCUUCAUCAUUGUUUCGCACGACAUGGAAAUCCUCGCCACGACGACCAUACAGAUCCAAAUGGUAUGUAACUAUGUAUGCAUUUGGGUUGAUUACUUGAAUAAAAUCAACCACAACUAGAGUAGUAGAUAAAUGUAAUGGAUGGCUGCAAUCAUCAGGACCUCUGUACUACAAGGGCUUGUACCAUCUCUUCUACCAGUACAACCCCGGCAGCGUUGUCCCAGGCAACAAGACCUGGGCUCACUCUGUCUCCACCGACCUCGUCAACUGGCUCCGGCUCGAGACGGCAUUGGACCGGACCGAGCCCUACGAUGCCAAGGGCUGCUGGUCCGGCUCAGUCACUGUCCUCGCCGAUGGCCGGCCAGCCAUCCUCUACACCGGCGCAGACGACGUGAAGAACCAAGCCCAAUGCAUCGCCUUCCCCAGUAACAGCUCCGACCCGUAUCUCAGGGAAUGGACCAAGCCCAGCAGCAACCCGGUGAUCCGUCCGGACGGGCCGGGCCUGAACCCAAGACAGUUCAGGGACCCGACGACCGGGUGGACCGGGCCGGACGGGCAGUGGAGGAUAGCAGUUGGGGCCGAGCUGGACGGCUACAGUGCGGCACUCUUGUACAAGAGUGAGGACUUUGUGAGUUGGAGCAGGGUUGAUCACCCGCUCUACUCCUCCAACUCAUCCACCAUGUGGGAGUGCCCCGACUUCUUCGCGGCGCUGCCUGGCAACACCAGCGGACUGGACCUCUCCGCGGCGAUCCCGAAUGGCGCCAAGCAUGUCCUCAAGAUGAGCCUAGAUUCCUGUGACAAGUACAUGGUUGGGGUAUAUGAUCUGGAAGCCGAUAAGUUUGUGCCGGAUAAUUUCGUGGACGAUAGGCGUCUGUGGCUGAGGAUCGACUACGGCAAUUACUUCGCGUCAAAGUCAUUCUUCGACGCCAAAAAGGGGAGGAGGAUCAUAUGGGGCUGGGCUAACGAGUCGGAUAGUUCGUCGGAUGAUGCCGCAAAAGGCUGGGCUGGGAUCCAGGUAAGUAAGGAAAACUGCCCCUGGUUCACUGUCACUGUCAAGUUUCAGGAACUAAUGAUUUUGAGUGGUUUAGCAGAUAUAUACCACUGUGACAUGUGUAUCCUCAUUUGUUAGGCGAUCCCCAGGACAAUAUGGUUAGAUAGCGAUGGCAAUCAGUUGCUGCAAUGGCCCGUUGAAGAGAUCGAGUCCCUUCGAAGAAACGAAAUUAGUCAUCAAGGAAUAGAGCUGAAAAAGGGUGACAUGUUUGAAAUUGAGGGGACUGAUACUUUGCAGGCUAGUUCCUUCUUUUUUUUCACACAGAUUCCUACUGCUUGAUAUUUUUACUUUAAAAGUGGCAUGUCAGAUAAAAAUCAGUUUGGUCUUAUGGUGAUUAACCAGACAUGAUUUUCUUGGAGUAGGCGGAUGUGGAGAUAGAGUUUGAGCCAGGAACCAUGGAUGAAGCUGAUGCUUUUGAUCCUUCCUGGCUCUUGGACACGGAGAAGCAUUGCAGGGAAGCAGAUGCAUCAGCUCCUGGUGGCCUGGGGCCAUUUGGGCUUGUGGUUCUAGCCUCCGAUGACAUGGAGGAGCACACUGCCGUGCAUUUCAGAGUCUACAAAUCAAAGCACAAGCACGUGAUUCUUAUGUGCUCUGACCUAAGAAGGUUAAUUUAAUUCCUAUGGAUUUACUUUUUUGUCUUUCUUGUAUGUUCUCUACAAUACUCACAGAAAUUGAUACUAUAUCAGAAAAUUUUCACUCUCUGUUCUACAUUGCAUCAAUAUAAGCAAGAGAGUUCAGUUUCGAAAUUAAAAAAAAUAUAAGCAAGAGAGUUACCUUUUUUCCUUGUAUACAGGUCGUCCCUGAGAUCAGGGCUGUACACGCCGGCCUAUGGAGGCUUCUUCGAAUUUGACAUUGAAAAGGAAAGGAAGAUAUCUUUGAGAACAUUGGUUAGGCCUUGGGACUUCUUUCUCCCCAUGCACUCAUAUCACUAGUGUGAUAAUUGGACAGAGAUGCUCUAACAGCCAUGGGUCUCCCGUGCAGAUCGAUCGUUCUGCAGUGGAGAGCUUUGGUGGUGGCGGCAGGGUCUGCAUCAUGGCUAGGGUCUACCCGGUUGCGCUGGUCGACGACAGAGGCGCUCGUAUGUAUGCUUUUAACAAUGGCACGACCACGGUCAUGGUGUCACAGCUCAAGGCAUGGAGCAUGAGAAGGGCACAUAUGAAUGUGAAGAAGGGAUGAAGUACUUGCCCAACAGAGCAAAGGCUAAUAGGCAGUGGUGCGAAAAUGUUACUUGAUUAAUGUGCAUUGCAUGAAGCAGAGUGGAAUGUGGACUACUUGCUACUACCUCCAUAAAUGUAUUUAGGAAUGGAGGUAGUAGUUACUAGUCAUAUUGUUAUGGUGCAAAAAUAUGGUUGCGUGCAUUGCAUGAAGCAGAGGCUGGGAGGAUGAUCUUUUCAUUGUCUAAAAAAAUCAUGUGAAGAAACAAUUGUACUUGUUCUGUUGUCAAAUCUGCAAAGGCGUUCUUACGAUCUAGCACUGGUGCUAGGCAUUUAUAUGCUGUUUGAGUUGACCUAUUGCUCAUAUUGUAUGCGACAAACACGGUUGAUCCACUCCAAGUACAUGUAUCUUGGAAUAUUAUGUUUGGAGAAAAUGAGAAAAAUACUCACUUCUUUUACUCUGCAUCACUCUGCUUGUAGGAUGAUCAGGGGAUGAUAAACUCCAGUUGUACAUCCCAUAUACUGUUCUCUAAUAAUUCCUGAGCUUGCACCUUCUUCUAUUCAUACUUCCCUGUUGCUAUAUACUGGAGAUGGAGGUAAGUGAGAAUGCAAGAAAUUGACCUGGUGCUCAUGAAGAAAAAUAUUAAACUAACGAGUUGUAAUUCGAUCAUUUCUUCCUUUUCCUGAGAACUAAACAAACAGAGAAGUUCGAUGUGAAUUUCACUCUUGGUCUCCAUACAAAGAGCUACUUCAUUAAAAAAAAUAUUCUACUGGAGUGCACAAUAGGAAGAUGUGUUUCUGAAGAGUGAAUUGCUAGAAACCACCACAUUUGGGGCUUAUCUUGCAGAAAACAACAUGGUCGCUAAUCAUUUGCAAAAGCCACCGCAGAUUCAGUAACAGUUUUGCAGAUUGCACUGAACAUGUCAUUUGGCUCGGUUGAGGGCGUUUCCGACAGGUGGGGCCCAAAAUCGCUGGCGUGUCCUAACGGACGCGCGGACGGCGCCGUUUGCUUAAGACAGACGCGGUCGGGUCGCCAGAGACAGACCGCCCGCGCCCGACCACAUCUGUCUCGAUUUCUCUGCUCUCACGCUCGCUCUCUCUGCUCCCACGCUCGCUCGCUCCCCUCCCAUUUGCUCCUCUCCUCUCCGGUCGCCGCCGGCCGCCGUCCGCCAUGGUGUCCUGGACCGACAGUGAGAGCACUGACGGCUCCGCCGCGUAGUACAUCUCCUCCGACGACUCCCCUCUCAAAGUCAGAACAUUGUAUUCCUCAUUUGUGUUCUAGGGUUGAACAUUUGCUCGAUUUGGACACGUUUUUGUUGGAUUUCUCAGAUCCCAGCUACAAUUGAUGAGCCAUCGUUCGAGGGUCUUGCUGACGACUUGAAUGUGAUUUGUGAGCAUGGGAAUCCAGGGAGGAAGUAUGUUGCAUUUGAGGGGAUAAGCACCGGUAGGAGGUUCAUUGCUUGUGCCACUGAAGUAAGUUUUAAGUUGUGUUUGCAGCAUUCCAAUUCUUGUUCUAGGGUUUGUAGUAACAGUUCCUGUUCUAGGGUUCAUAGUUACUGUUCAUGUUCUAGGGUUCAUAGUUACUGCUCAUGUUCUAGGGUUUAUAGUUACUGAAUUUAGUUCUAGGGUUCAUAGGUAGUGUUCUUAGCUGUAGUUUUCAUAAUUAUUCAUCAUUAAAUGAAUGUGAUUCUGGUACAUUAACUGAAUCAGCUAUUUAACUGAAUCUGUAAGUAAUGUCUGUAAUUUUUGAACUGAUUUUUUUAUUGUAGGGUGUUGCAAAUUGUGGAUUAGUGCAGUGGGUAGAUGAGCAUUGGCCAGAGCAUCUGCAGAAUGCUAUUCAUAAGCUCUGGCUUAUGUAUGAGCAUAGCCAGCAUGAAAACAGGACGGCAUGCCUGGAGUAUUCAAGCACUGUACACAAUCUCACACAGCAGAAAAAAGAGUUGCAGGAGACAUAUGAGAAGCUUGUUGAAGAUGUGAACAACCUCUUGGAUUAUAAGGAUAGCCAGCCUGAGGUAAACCAGAAGAAUGAUGCUGACAACAUUUCAGUUAGUGUGGAAAGCAGCAUGACAAAGGAUGCUGAGAUCAAAAAAUUAAAGGCUGUUGUUGACCAGUUAAAGCAAAUUCAUGUAGCUCAAGCCACUGUCAUUAGGAAUUUGAAGUUCAACCAUCUUAAGGAGAAGGAAAAGUUGAGCUCUGAUAAGAAGACUUUGGAGAUUUGUUAUGCUGACCUGAAGAAAGAGAAGGAUGACCUGAAGAAAGAGAAGGAUAAGCUGGAUUGUUGCAUUGCUGAGCUGAUGAAAGUGAAGGAGAAGUUGACCAUGGAGAAGAGUACUCUUGCUUCCUGCAUUGUUGAGCUCAAGACAGCAAGUGAUAGCAACAAGAGGAAGCUUCACCAGAUUAAGGCUAUUUGUGAUGAGGACUAAUUUAUGUUGCUGUCUGACCAUGUGUGUCAAUGAUGUCUUUUGUAGUAGCUAUGAAGGAAAGCUGUAAUCUAUUAAGCUUUAUUAUGGUGAACUCUAUUAUUUCUGUAGCAAUGAACCUUGGAUUGUAUGUUGUUUGUGAGAGUACUAUGUUUGUGAUGAAUUAUCAGCUUGUAUUAAGUUCAGUUUGUGAUGAAUUAACAGCUUGGAUUAUAGCAAGUAGAUAGUGAACAUAGAUAGCAAGUUCAUAGUGCAUAGAUAGUCUGACAUAGAUAGUGGCAUACUAACAUAGAUAAUAGCUGCAUAGAUAGUCUGAUAUAGAUAGUGGCAUACUAACAUAGAUAGUCUUACAUAGAUAGUAGCAUACUAACAUAGAUAGUAGCUGCAUAGAUACAACUGACAUAGAUAGAACUGGCAAACUAACAUACUGACGAAACUGAAAUUUUACUUCUUCUGACGAAACUGAACUUUUUCUUCUUCUGACGAAACUGAAGACAGCAUGUCACUCCUCCUUCUUCAGCAUUUUCAGGCGUAGGGAGCGCCGCACGUCAUUGUUGUUCACCGCCGCCCUCUUCUUCUUGGCUGGCGCUGGCUCCACCACAUCUUCACCGCCGCCCUCCUCUUCUUGCUUCACGACGACGAGCUCUGGGUUGUCGGCAUCCUCCGGCAGCUUAUCCACAUCAAUUGGGAUGUUCUUCUGCCCCUCGACGGCGUGGAGGACGGGCGCUAGGAGCUGCACAUCAGGCUCGUCGGAGGAGGAGUCGGAGGAGAGUACGACGACCUCGUCCACCUCGUCGUCAGAGGAGUAGCCGUCAGAUUCGUCAGAGUCGUAGUCAUCAGAGGACUCGGACUUGGCGUCGGAGUCGUCGUCUGGCCCGAGCACCCAUGGAUUGCGCCUCUCCUAGUAGGCGUUGUUGAUGGGGGCUGGGAGAGCGAGGACGGCGUCGGUGAUGUCAUCCGCGGCGGUCGGCGGCGUGGUGGAUGAGCGGUACAUCCACCAACGGGCGCGCUGCCCGGGGUCGGGGGAGCGAUGCACCUCGCGCAUCGCCCACAGGAGAAUGGUCGCCGGCGGGACGGUGCAGCCGGCAGGGAAUGCACGCUGCCUUUCAGCAGGUGUCAUCACCUUCACCAGGCCGCGGGCAUGGUUCCUCAGCAUCGCCGCACUGGGGAACCAACGCGCGAUCUCCCUGUACUGCGCGCACAGCUCGCGGUUGUUGCCGGCGAGCUCUUCGAUGGCCAGCUGCCAGUCCAUGGCGACGGGGGUGGGGGUGGCUGUCAGCGGUGGUUUCGACGGGAGAGAGGGGGAAGAGGAGUGGGCGGUGCGGGCGGCGAGUGGGCGAGUGAUCGAAGAGAGCGGUAGGUGGACACGUAUUAAAGGCAGAAACCGAAACGACUAGUUAUACUAAAUAGACGUUCACCAUGCUGGCGGCCUCAACGCACUCUCAACACAGUGCGUGCCUAACUAAAUAUAAGUAAAAUUGCGGAUGCUACUAAAACAACAUCACUAGCACUAUCCUAUUGGUAUUGAACCCCUGGUUACUACCCACUGGUCCUCGGUUCGAUCCCCAGCAGGCCAAACUAUUUUUGUGCAAUUUUUUUGGAUUUACAAAAUUAAUAUGUCAGUAACUUCUUACGGUUUUUAUUUUUGUUCAAUUUUUUGGAUUUAAAAAAUUAAUAUGUCAGUAACUUCUUAGGGUUUUUUCGACUCCGAGGCACCCUAAAUGCCCAAGUGGAGACAUUAUAGGUUUUGUCGACGCCGAGGAACCCUAAAUGCCCAAGUGGAGACAUUUUGGGUUUUGUCCAUGCCAAGGCACCCUAAAUGCUCAAGUGGAGACAUUUUGGGUUUUGUCGAUGCCGAGGCACCCUAAAUGCCCAAGUGGAGACAUUUUAGGUUUUUUCGACUCCGAGGCACCUUAAAUGCCCAAGUGGAGACAUUUUAGGUUUUGUCGACACCGAGGCACCAUAAAUGCCCAAGUGGAGACAUUUUGGGUUUUGUCGACGCCGACGCCGAGGCACCCAACUUGUUGCAACACAUCAUAACACAUCAUAUCAACAACAUGAAAACUAAGAUCAUCAUCAUAUCAAUAAUGAAACUAUGCUCAUCAUCACAACAACAGAAUGAAAACUUGUUGCAAAACAUCAUAACUAAUAAGUUCAUCAUCACAUCAUCAUAACCAGAGUAUCAUAGUGCAUCACAACCAUUAGGUACAUUACAUAGUCCACCACUUGGACUUGAACUAACUGGUUUCAACAUGAAAUUCUUAAUAUUCUUCAUCACAAACUAGCCAAAAAAGGCUGAAUUAAACAUGUUUCAACAUUACAUCACUUCUUGCUGCCUUGAGAACAAUUGAACCAUUCAGACAUCUUGUAUGAUGGCUUUCUCACUCUUCCAGUACCUGACAGUCUUGGUGGUAUGAAUGUUUUCUUUCCCCUUGACCUAGCAGCAGUAGCAGAAGAUGAACUAGGCCUAUCAGCAGUAGCAGAAGAUGAACUUGGCCUUGUUGGAGUAGGAGCAGAAGGAGCUGCCCUAGGUACAGCCCUAGUUGCAGUCCUAGCUGCAGCUGGAGCUCUAGCCCUUGCUGCUGGUGGAGCUGUCUGUAACACCCCGGAUAUGACUUUCCCAAUAUGUAUUCCAACUCUUGCCGUUUCCGGCUUUAAGUUAUUUUAUUUUCUCGGGUUCGGGUCUUUGUCUUCGUGUGUUGUUAUCGUUGUCAUGCAUCUCAUAUCAUGUCAUCAUGUGCAUUGCAUUUGCAUACAUGUUCAUAUCAUGCAUUCGAGCUUUUUCCCCGUUGUCCGUUUUGCAUUCCGGCGCUUCGUUCUCCUCCGGUGGUCAUUUCUACUUUUCUUUCGUGUGUGGGGUUUAAACAUUUCCGGAUUGGACCGAGACUUGCCAAGCGGCCUUGGUUUACUACCGGUAGACCGCCUGUCAAGUUUUGUAUCAUUUGGACUUCGUUUGAUACUCCAAUGGUUAACUGAGGGACCGAAAAGGCCUCGUAUGUGUUGCAGCCCAACACCCCUCCAAUUUGGCCCAAAACCCACCAUAACCCUCUCCAUCAUCUAGAGCGUUCGAUCACGAUCGCGUGGCCGAAAACCGCACCUCAUUUGGACUCUCCUAGCUCCUCCUAUGUAUAAAUAGGCAUCUCCCCCGAAAUUCCCGGAUCAAACCACCCUAACCCUAGCGUUCGUCCUCCUCCCGCCGCCGGACACGUCCGCGCCGCCGCACCCAGCUUGUCACCGCGCGCCACGUGGCAGGCCGUCCCCGCCGCCGCCGCGAAGGCCCACCGGCCCGAAGCCGGCCCUCCCCGCGAAUCGCUCGGGCCAGAGGCGCCCUCCCCGCGAGCCGUUGUCUUCCUCCUCCACGGCGCCCGACCGCCGCCUUCCUCCGCCCGGCGCCCCGCCUCUCGCCGGCAAGCCGCACUCCGGCGAGCCUCCGCACCACCCGACGACCUCGUCCGCCGCCCCUCCGCCUCGCCGUUCCACCGCACCACGCCGCCCCGGCAAGCUCCCUCAUCGACCGGCCUCUCCUCCCCUCAAGUCCCUCUCCGACCUCCUCCACAACGACGUCUCCGGCGAAGCUCCAGCGACCUCGACAUCCGUGCAUGAACAGUACCCCCAGCCAGAUCUAGAUCUGAGAAAAUUGGGACGGUUGACUUUUUUUCUUGAAACCUUAAUUUUUUGCUCCUGUUCAUCAUGUCGUAACUCCUCAUCUGUAACUCCGUUUUGGGCAUAUAGCAUAUCAAAUGUUCGUCUCAGAGAGCACAUCAUUUAAUCUCAUUGCAUCAUUUUCAUUUGAGUUCAUCUGGAUGCCCGAAAUGUUGUUAGAAGAGUGCUACUUGAGUUAAUUGUCAGAUCUGCUGCUCCAUUUAGAUAUUUGUCAUUUUUGCCAUGAUUAUUGUGUGCAUGAUAUGCCCAUGAGCUCUACAUAUGUUUUGUUAAGGGUUUUGCCAUCUUUCCAGAGGUGCAACCCAUGUAUUUUUGUGAUGUGUGUGGUGACUAGCACAAGCUUGCAAAGUGAGGCACUUGGUAAUGCUGAUUUCAGGGACUUAGCAUUUCCACUAAGUCCUUGAGCUGUUUAUCUCAUAUGGUCAUAUGUUCAUGUUGUUUCCUAGUGAUCCGUGCCUCUUUUGAGGAUGAUCAGUAAGGAUGUUUUGUUAAUAUUGUAGUGCUCUAUCCAUCCAUGUCUUUGUUUGCAAUUAUGGAGCACCCUAGCUUGAGUCAAUCGAGCUCUACUUUUGCUACUUCGUGAAUCUGGGCAGAUUGUCUACUUGUUAGCGAUUUUGCCGAUGAUGUUGUAGUUGAUCCGUGCAUUUUUGCCAUGCUUGUUUGAACCUGUUAGUGGAUGAAUUGGCCGUAGCUCAGUGCUAGACUUUUGUUAAGCAUCUUGAGUGAAUCCCUGCCAUGUAUUUUUAUGCCAUGUUUGGGUGUUGUAGCAUGUUCAUCUCAUUGCACUUAGAUGGCUACUUGCUGUAAAUCGCAGAACGUGGCCAUAUUUGAAUUGCUUGCCAUUUCCAAACCGUAACUCCGAUUCCGGCGUUCUUUAUAUCGUUUUAAAGCGAUUUCAUCUCAUAUUUCCAGUGGCACACUUGGAUUUCCAAGUUGAGGCCAGGUUCAUGCAUUCCUUGUCACAUCUUGCAUAUGCAUCCCGCAUCGCAUCCUGCAUAAUAUACCAUCCUUGCAUCAUAUUGUUUGAGCUUUGCACGUGGUUGAUUGUGUUCCGUUUGCUUGUUUGUCUUGUUUGGGUAGAGCCGGGAGACGAGUUCACUAACGAGGAGCCCGUUGAGUUUGCUUUUGAGGAUCCAGUCAACUCUGACAACUUUGCAGGCAAGAUGAUCAUACCCUCGAAAUCACUACUAUCUUUGCUAUGCUAGAUGCUCGCUCUUUUGCUAUGCCAAUGCUACGAUGCCUACCACUUGCUUUCAAGCCUCCCAAAUUGCCAUGUCGACCUCUAACCCACCAUGUCCUAGCAAACCGUUGAUUGGCUAUGUUACCGCUUUGCUCAGCCCCUCUUAUAGCGUUGCUAGUUUCAGGUGAAGAUUGGAGACCGUUCCUUGUUGGAACAUUAUUUACUUGUUGGGAUAUCAUUAUAUUAUCUUGUUAUCUUAAUGCAUCUAUAUACUUGGUAAAGGGUGGAAGGCUCGGCCUCACGCCUAGUAUUUUGUUCCACUCUUGCCGCCCUAGUUUCCGUCAUAUCGGUGUUAUGUUCCCGGAUUUUGCGUUCCUUACGCGGUUGGGUUAUAAUGGGAACCCCUUGACAGUCCGUUUUGAAUAAAACUCCUCCAGCAAUGCCCAACCUUGGUUUUACCAUUUGCCACCUAGCCUUUUCCCUUGGGUUUGACUCAAGGGUCAUCUUAUUUUAAACCCCCCGGGCCAGUGCUCCUCUGAGUGUUGGUCCAACCUAGAGCACCAUGCGGGGCCGUCCCUUGGCAACCUGGGUUACGUUGGCUCCCGUAUGCUUAGCUUAUCCGGUGUGCCUUGAGAACGAGAUAUGUGCAGCUCCUAUCGGGAUUUGUCGGCACAGCGGGUGGUGUUGCUGGAUUUGUUUUACCAUUGUCGGAGUUGUCUUGAAGAACCGGUAUACCGAGUCUGAUCGGAACGUCUCGGGAGGAGGUCUAUUCCUUCGUUGACCGUGAGAGCUUGUCAUGGGCUAAGUUGGGACUCCCUUGCAGGGAUUUGAACUUUCGAAAGCCAUGCCCGCGGUUAUGGGCAGAUGGGAAUUUGUUAAUGUCCGGUUGUAGAUAACUUGAACCUUAACUUAAUUAAAAUGAAUCAACAGUUUGAGUUACCGUGAUGGUCUCUUCUCGGCGGAGUCCGGGAAGUGAACACGGUGUUGGAGUAAUGCUUGCCGCAAGUUGUCCUCUAGUUUCUCGCUCACGCUUUGCCUCCUCUUCUCGCUCUCUUUUGCGAACAAGAUAGCCACCAUAUUUGCUAGUCGCCUGCUGCAGCUCCUCAUAUUUACCUUGCCUUACCUAUUAAGCUUAAAUAGUCUUGAUCGCGAGGGUGCGAGAUUGCUGAGUCCCUAUGGCUCACAGAUUACUAUUACACCAGAUGCAGGGCCUGAUGAUUCCGCUCCAGGUGACGCGCUUGAGCUCAAGUGGGAGUUCGACGAGGACUCUCAACGAUACUAUGUUUCCUUUCCUGAUGAUCAGUAGUGGUACCCUGUUGGGGACGAUCGGGACCGUGUCGCAUGUUGGGUUAUCUUUUAUUUUGGCGCCGUAGUCGGGCCAUGAGUGUUUGAAUGAUGUAAUGUUAUUCAUGUACCUUGAUUGACGUGGCGAGUGUAAGCCAACUAUGUUAUCUCCCCUUUUAUUAUCUAUAUAUUACAUGGGAUGUUGUGAAGAUUGCCUAACUUGCGACAUAUGCCUUCAAUGUGAUUAUGCCUCUAAGUCGUGCCUCGACACGUGGGAGAUAUAGUCGCAUCGAGGGUGUUACAAGUUGGUAUCAGAGCCUUCCCCGACCUUAGGAGCCCCAUUGAUUGAUCAUUUUUAGCGGCCGGGUUGUGUCUAGAAAAAUGUUUUGAGUCAUUUAGGAAUUAUAUAUCAGAGAGUUUAGGAAUUCUUUUUUACUUCCCAGUCUCCUCAUCGCUCUGGUAAGGCAUCCUGACGUAGAGUUUUGACUCUUCUCUUCUCAAAUUUCACUAAUUUAUUUUUAGGAUCACGCGGGUAUCUUGGAAUCGUUCCGAUGGUUUUAUGACGAGAACAUUGUCUUGGUGCCUCUUGUCAGGGGUUUUGUGGAAGUGUCCCAGGGAGUUGAGCUCUGAGGUGUUGUCGUCAUAAUUUUAUCGUUGCAAUUAUGGAAUACCUGAGUUUAGUACGCCAACAUCGAAAAUCUCUUUUAUGCAGUUCAUUGGUGAGAUAACCUCGACGCCACCCAGUACUGGGGCGGGAGUUCGGGAGUAUCGCCAUAACUUGUAUAACGGAUGCUUUUCGAAGGUUGAGGUAGAUGGUUUCCGAAGUUUUUCUCGGUUAUGUGUUGAAGGAUGGAUACAGCUGGAUGUAGGAUUUGCUAGAUUUGGGUGAGAUAUUAUGCUUCCCCUGUAUCCCCAACACCUGAUUGCAUAACCGGAAAGGUUCGGGAGUUUCAUAGGUGGGAAUUCUCGUAGCUCUAGUUCUUCUUCCACGGAUAUUUGGUUUGAGAUUGGGAUUUCUUACCGAUUAUUCGUUCUUGAUCCGUACCUUGUUGAUUUAUUUCUCUACCUAAAUUCUACGUGGCUUCUCAAUUUAUGGAUAUGUGACCAUUUCAAGAGGAAUGCAUUCAUUCAUUUUGUUCGGAUGUGAAGACUAUAUGUUGCAAUUUUCAUUCCGUUGGAUUCAGCUUCAUUUAUCUGUCUAUGUGCUAACGGUGGUCAACCUCUUCAGGAUGGCUCCCGCUAAGAGCACCAAUCAGAAUCAGAAUCAAGAUCCGCCACCACCUUCACCUCCUCCGGAGGCAUGGCAAGCUGUGAUGGCCACAACCAAUGCAAACACACAGUUGAUCAUGCAAAUUCUUCAAGAGCGCAAUCAAGGCAACCAAGGGAACCAAGGCAACAAUCAGAAUCACUUUGCUACACUCAACCAGUUCCUUGCUAACGGGCCAAAGACUUUCAGCAAUUGUGUUGAGGCAACCGAUGCUGACGAUUGGCUCGUGGAUCUGUGCAAGCAUUUCGAGUGCAGUAACGUCAGGCCUGAGGACUUUGUCAAGUUCGCUUCUUUCCAACUCAAAGAUCAAGCUGCAGAAUGGUUCCAGCAGUACAAGGAUUCCAGAGGUGGACGUGCGAUUACUUGGGAUGAAUUCCGUCAAGAUUUCAGAGCUCACCAUAUCCCUCAGAGCAUGGUUGAAAGCAAGCGUGAGGAAUUCCGCAACCUGAAGCAAGGCUCUUUGUCUGUCUAUGACUACAACAAGUUGUUUUAGAAGCUCGCCCGCUUUGCCAAGCAGGACGUCCCUGAUGAGAAGAGCAUGAUAUACCAGUUCAGGGGUGAUCUCAGAGAAGAAAUCCAGCUAGCUCUUGUUCUCUUUGAGCCCUUGAGAUACGAUGAGUUCUACAACAUGGCACUGAAGCAAGAGGCCGCUCAAUUGAGGUGUGAUGCUUCCAAGAAGCGAGUCAGAGAUGCUACUCCUUCUUCCUCUACUCAAGUGGCCAAGCAGCAGAAGUAUUGGCUUCCUCCUCCUCCGUUCCGUCAGCCGUAUCAGCAGAAGAGCAAAGGUGGCAGUGGAUCUUCCCACCCACCCAACCCUGGCUUUCAGAACAAGACUUUGUCUCAAGCUCCAAGAUCGAGUGCUCUGUACCACCGUCCGCUUUCAGAGGUCACGUGCAACAAGUGCCAACAAAAGGGUCACUAUGCCAACAAGUGCUUCAACCAGAGGCGUCUCCCUCCUCCUCCUCCUAUGAGAUCAGCAAGUAUAGCUGUGGUCAAGCAUAACCCCAAGAACGCCAAGGUCAACUUGCUGAAUGCAGCUCAGGCAGAGGACUCAUCAGAUGUCAUCAUGGGUAACUUUCCAGUUAACUCUUUCCCGCAAAAGUUCUUUUUGACACUGGUGCAUCGCAUUGUUUCAUGUCAAGAUCAUUUGUUUCCAAGCAUGACUUCAUUUCACAAAUGUUGGGUAAACCUAUGGGAGUGGUUUCUCCGGCUAAGUCUAUGAGGGCUACUUCAAUAGUCCCGGAUAUUUCUAUCAUGAUGGGUGAUUUUAAGUUUCUGGCUUCCCCAAUGGUUCUUGGUAACUCGGAUAUUGAUCUUAUUCUCGGGAUGGAUUGGCUUUCUAAGCACAAGGCUCAGCUUGAUUGUGCAGCCAGGCAGAUUCAAUUGACUCAUUCGUCUGAGGAUGUAAUUGUCUUUGCCGCGAAUGACGAUACCAUCCGUCUAUUUUCUCUCAAUGAGAAGGGUGAACUGGAUGCUAUCUCGCAAAUUCCAGUCGUUUGCGAAUAUCAAGACGUAUUUCCAGAAGAGCUUCCAGGAAUGCCUCCGCACCGGCCAGUUGAAUUCGUUAUUGAUCUUGAGCCCGGUACGGAACCUGUGUGCAAGCGUCCUUACAAGCUCGGACUUGAAGAGUUGAAGGAGCUGAAGAAGCAACUCGAUAUUCAAGAGAUAAUGGGUCUCAUCCGGCCUAGUUCUUCUCCGUGGGGUUGUGGUGUUCUUUUUGUGAAGAAGAAGGAUGGAACGGACCGACUUUGUGUUGAUUACCGUCCAUUGAACAAGAAGACCAUCAAGAACAAAUAUCCACUUCCCAACAUCAACGAGAUGUUCGAACAACUCAAAGGUGCCCAAGUAUUCUCCAAGCUUGAUCUCCGUAUGGGUUAUCAUCAGAUUCGAAUCCGUGAGCAAGAUAUUCCCAAGACGGCUUUUAGAACAAGCUAUGGUUCAUAUGAAUACACUGUCAUGUCUUUUGGCCUCGUCAACGCUCCUCCGACGUUCUCUCGCAUGAUGAACUUCAUCUUCAACGCCUACACCAAUGACUUCGUUUUGGUCUAUCUCGACGACAUUCUGGUUUUCUCGAAGAACAAGGAAGAUCAUUCCAAGCACUUGCGUUUGGUACUCGAUAAGUUGAGGGAACAUCAGUUCUACGCCAAGUUCUCCAAGUGCGAAUUUUGGCUCGAUGAGGUUCUUUAUCUUGGUCAUAUCAUCUCUGCCAAGGGCAUUGCGGUGAAUCCUGAGAAGGUGUCUGCAAUUGUGAAUUGGGAACCUCCUCAGAACGUGAAGCAACUCUGUAGCUUCCUCGGUCUCGCAAGCUAUUGCCGAAGAUUUGUUGAAAACUUUUCUAAGAUCGCGAAGCCUCUCUCAAAUCUUCUCCAGAAGCACGUCAAGUACGUUUGGUCUCCGGAGUGUGACAUUGCUUUCAACACUUUGAAAGAGAAAUUGGUCACUGCUCCAGUUCUGACCCCGCCUAAUGAAUCCAAACCGUAUGAGGUCUUUUGUGAUGCCUCUCUCCAAGGUCUUGGCGCAGUGUUGAUGCAAGAGAAGAAAGUUGUUGCUUAUACCUCUCGCCAGUUGAAGCCCAAUGAGAAGAACUACCCCACUCAUGAUCUCGAGUUGGCGGCAGUUGUGCAUGCUCUUUUGACUUGGAGACAUCUCUUAUUGGGAAGAAAAGUGGACAUCUUCACUGACCACAAGAGUCUCAAGUACAUCUUCACUCAGCCUAAUCUCAACCUCAGGCAGACUCGAUGGGUCGAAAUUAUUCAAGAGUAUAAUCUGAGUAUCGAGUAUACUCCAGGCAAGGCCAAUGUGAUUGCUGACGCAUUGAGCAGAAAGGCUUAUUGCAACAGUCUGAUUCUCAAGCCUUAUCAACCCGAGCUUUGUGAAGCUUUCCGCAAACUUAAUCUGCAAGUUGUUCCUCAAGGUUUCCUCGCCAACCUUCAAGUCUCUCCUACCUUGGAAGACCAGAUUCGCCAAGCCCAGCUUCUUGAUGCUAUGGUGAAAAAGGUGAAGGUUGGGAUUGCCAAGAGUCAACCCAAGUACAAGUGCUACCGCCUUGAUGACAAGGACACUCUCUUCUUCGAGGAUUGUAUUGUUGUACCCAAAGGUGACCUCCGUAAAGUGAUCAUGAACGAGGCUCACAAUUCUCUCCUCUCCAUCCACCCUGGGAGCAUGAAGAUGUAUCAGGACCUCAAGCAGGCUUAUUGGUGGACUCGAAUGAAGCGCGAGAUUGCUCAGUUCAUGAAUGAGUGCGAUGUCUGUAGAAGAGUGAAGGCAGAACACCAAAGGCCAGCUGGUCUCCUCCAACCUCUUGCCAUUCCAGAAUGGAAGUUUGACCACAUUGAGAUGGACUCCGUGACUGGGUUUCCAAAGUCCAAGCGUGGCAAUGAUGCUAUAUUCGUUGUCAUCGACAAACUCACCAAAGUGGCUCAUUUUCUGUCUAUCAAAGAGUCAAUCACUGCAGCUCAAUUGGCGGAACUCUAUACCUCUCGAAUUGUCUCUCUGCACGGUAUUCCUCAAGUGAUCUCUUCAGACCGUGGCAGCAUCUUUACCUCCAAGUUUUGGGAUUCUUUUCAUAAGGCCAUGGGCACCACCAUCCGCUUCAGCACAGCUUUCCAUCCUCAAACUAGCGGUCAAGUCGAGCGUGUCAAUCAGAUUCUUGAAGAUAUGCUCAGGGCUUGUGUGAUCUCCUUCGGCAUAAAGUGGGAGGAUUGUCUUCCUUAUGCUGAAUUCUCCUACAACAACAGUUUUCAAGCAAGUUUGGGCAAGGCCCCAUUUGAAAUUCUGUAUGGCAGGAAGUGCCGUACCCCUCUCAACUGGUCUAAAACUGAUGAACGUCAGCUUUUGGGUAAUGACUUAAUCACAGAGGCAGAGGAAAUGUGCAAAGUCAUUCGAGAUAACCUCAAAGCAGCCCAAUCCCGCCAGAAGAGCUACUAUGACAGUAAGCACCGUGAUUUGGCUUUCGAGAUCGGAGAUCAUGUUUACCUCCACGUCUCUCCUAUGAAAGGUACUCACCGCUUCGGUAUCAAAGGGAAGCUUGCCCCUAGAUACGUGGGACCUUUCAAGAUUGUCAGCAAGAGAGGCGAUCUCGCCUAACAACUCGCUUCCUUCAAACUUUGCAAAUGUUCAUGAUGUGUUCCAUGUCUCUCAGCUCCGAAAGUGCUUCAAGACUCCUGACCGCACCGUCAACUUCGAGGACAUUGAGCUCUAAGAAGAUCUCUCCUACCGUGAGCACCCCGUGGCUAUUCUUGAAGAGACUGAACGCAAGACUCGCAACAAGUCAAUCAAAUUCCUCAAAGUCAAGUGGUCACACCAUUCCGACCGUGAAGCUACCUGGGAACGCGAGGAUCACCUCCGUUCUGAGUACCCGGCGUUCUUUCAGUCCUAGAUCUCGGGACGAGAUCCUUUCGUAGUGGUGGAGUGUUGUAACACCCCGGAUAUGACUUUCCCAAUAUGUAUUCCAACUCUUGCCGUUUCCGGCUUUAAGUUAUUUUAUUUUCUCGGGUUCGGGUCUUUGUCUUCGUGUGUUGUUAUCGUUGUCAUGCAUCUCAUAUCAUGUCAUCAUGUGCAUUGCAUUUGCAUACAUGUUCAUAUCAUGCAUUCGAGCUUUUUCCCCGUUGUCCGUUUUGCAUUCCGUCGCUUCGUUCUCCUCCGAUGGUCAUUUCUACUUUUCUUUCGUGUGUGGGGUUUAAACAUUUCCGGAUUGGACCGAGACUUGCCAAGCGGCCUUGGUUUACUAUCGGUAGACCGCCUGUCAAGUUUCGUAUCAUUUAGACUUCGUUUGAUACUCCAACGGUUAACCGAGGGACCGAAAAGGCCUCGUAUGUGUUGCAACCCAACACCCCUCCAAUUUGGCCCAAAACCCACCAUAACCCUCUCCAUCAUCUAGAGCGUUCGAUCACGAUCGUGUGACCAAAAACCGCACCUCAUUUGGACUCCCCUAGCUCCUCCUAUGUAUAAAUAGGCAUCUCCCCCGAAAUUCCCGGAUCAAACCACCCUAACCCUAGCGUUUGUCCUCCUCCUGCCGCCGGAUGCGUCCGGAUCGGACCGGACACGUCCGCGCCGCCGCACCCAGCCUGUCACCGCGCGCCACGUGGCAGGCCGUCUCCGCCACCGCCGCGAAGGCCCGCCGGCCCGAAGCCGGCCCUCCCCGCGAUUCGCUCGGGCCAGAGGCGCCCUCCUCGCGAGCCGUCGUCUUCCUCCUCCACGGCACCCGACCGCCGCCUUUCUCCGCCCGUCGCCCCGCCUCUCGCUGGCAAGCCGCACUCCGGCGAGCCUCCGCGCCGCCCGACGACCUCGUCCGCCGCCCCUCUGCCUCGCCGUUCCACCGCACCACGUCGCCCCGGCAAGCUCCCCCACCGGCCGGCCUCUCCUCCCCUCAAGUCCCUCUCCGACCUCCUCCACGGUGACGUCUUCGGCGAAGCUCCGGCGACCUCGACAUCCGUGCAUGAACAGUACCCCCAGCCAGAUCUAGAUCUGAGAAAAUUGCGACGGUUGACUUUUUUCCUGAAACCCUAAUUUUUUGGCUCCUGUUCAUCAUGUCGUAACUCCUCAUCCGUAACUCCGUUUUGGGCAUAUAGCAUAUCAAAAUGUUCGUCUCAGAGAGCACAUCAUUUCAUCUCAUUGCAUCAUUUUCAUUUGAGUUCAUCUUGAUGCCCGAAAUUCUGUUAGAAGAGUGCUACUUGAGUUAAUUGUCAGAUCUGCUGCUCCAUUUAGAUAUUUGUCAUUUUUGCCAUGAUUAUUGUGUGCAUGAUAUGCCCAUGAGCUCUACAUAUGUUUUCUUAACGGUUUUUUCAUCUUUCCAGAGGUGCAACCCAUGUAUUUUUGUGAUGUGUGUGACGACUAGCACAAGCUUGCAAAGUGAGGCACUUGGUUAUGCUGAUUUCAGGGACUUAGCAUUUCCACUAUGUCCUUGAGCUGUUUAUCUCAUAUGGUCAUAUGUUCAUGUUGUUUCCUAGUGAUCCGUGCCUCUUUUGAGGAUGAUCAGUAAGGAUGUUUUGUUAAUAUUGUAGUGCUCUAUCCAUCCAUGUCUUUGUUUGCAAUUAUGGAGCAUCCUAGCUUGAGUUAAUCGAGCUCUACUUUUGCUACUUCGUGAAUCUGGGCAGAUUGUCUACUUGUUAGCGAUUUUGCCGAUGAUGUUGUAGUUGAUCCGUGCAUGCUAUGCUAUUGUUCUUGCCAUGUCUAGCUUGAAUUUUGUGUAUUCUUGAUGGAUGUAUGCUUAGCUUGUCAUGACUUGCUCCGUAGUGAGUGCAUCGAGCUCGUAAACAUGCCUACUUGAUAUCUAUUUUCAGCAUGCUCCAGUUUUCACUAAGUCUGAGAACUGAUUAUAUUUUUGCCAUGUUCACAUGCUUGCAAAUGUAUUUUCUGAUCCCUUUUGGCUCAAGGUCACUAAGGGACUUUUGUUAAGCUCCUUGAGUAGCUCCAUGCCAUGCUUUACUUUGCCAUGUUCAGGUCCUGUAGCAUAUAGUUUUGUUGCUCCGAAGAGUGCUAUCUGAUCUGAAAUUCCAGACAAGUGUUAAUUUCACUAAGUCUGAGAUCUGUUUACCAUAUGCAUUUUUGCCAUGCUUGUUUGAACCUGUUAAUGGAUGAAUUGGCCAUAGCUGAGUGCUAGACUUUUGUUAAGCAUCUUGAGUGCAUCCUUGCCAUGUAUUUUUAUGCCAUGUUUGGAUGAUGUAGCAUGUUCAUCUCAUUGCAUUUAGAUGGCUACUUGCUGUAAAUCGCAGAACGUGGCCAUAUUUGAAUUGCUUGCCAUUUCCAAACCGUAACUCCGAUUCCGGCGUUCUUUAUAAUGUUUUCAAGCAAUUUCAUCUCAUCUUUCCAGUGGCACACUUGGAUUUCCAAGUUGAGGCCAGGUUCAUGCAUUCCAUUUCACAUCUUGCAUAUGCAUCCCGCAUCGCAUCCCGCAUAGCAUACCAUCCUUCCAUCGUAUUGUUUGAGCUUUGCACGUGGUUGAUUGUGUUCCGUUUGCUUGUUUGUCUUGUUUGGGUAGAGCCGGGAGACGAGUUCGCUAAUGAGGAGCCCGUUGAGUUUGCUUUCGAGGAUCCAGUCAACUCUGACAACUUUGCAGGCAAGAUGAUCAUACCCUCGAAAUCACUACUAUCUUUGCUAUGCUAGAUGCUCGCUCUUUUGCUAUGCCAAUGCUAUGAUGCCUUCCACUUGCUUUCAAGCCUCCCAAAUUGCCAUGUCAACCUCUAACCCACCAUGUCCUAGCAAACCGUUGAUUGGCUAUGUUACCGCUUUGCUCAGCCCCUCUUAUAGCGUUGCUAGUUGCAGGUGAAGAUUGGAGACCGUUCCUUGUUGGAACAUUAUUUACUUGUUGGGAUAUCAUUAUAUUAUCUUGUUAUCUUAAUGCAUCUAUAUACUUGGUAAAGGGUGGAAGGCUCGGCCUCACGCCUAGUAUUUUGUUCCACUCUUGCCGCCCUAGUUUCCGUCAUAUCGGUGUUGUGUUCCCGGAUUUUGCGUUCCUUACGCGGUUGGGUUAUAAUGGGAACCCCUUGAUAGUCCGUUUUGAAUAAAACUCCUCCAGCAAUGCCCAACCUUGGUUUUACCAUUUGCCACCUAGCCUUUUCCCUUGGGUUUGACUCAAGGGUCAUCUUAUUUUAAACCCCCCGGGCCAGUGCUCCUCUGAGUGUUGGUCCAACCUAGAGCACCAUGCGGGGCCGUCCCUUGGCAACCUGGGUUAUGUUGGCUCCCGUAUGCUUAGCUUAUCCGGUGUGCCUUGAGAACGAGAUAUGUGCAGCUCCUAUCGGGAUUUGUCGGCACAGCGGGUGGUGUUGCUGGAUUUGUUUUACCAUUGUCGGAGUUGUCUUGAAGAACCGGUAUACCGAGUCUGAUCGGAACGUCUCGGGAGGAGGUCUAUUCCUUCGUUGACCGUGAGAGCUUGUCAUGGGCUAAGUUGGGACUCCCUUGCAGGGAUUUGAACUUUCGAAAGCCAUGCCCGCGGUUAUGGGCAGAUGGGAAUUUGUUAAUGUCCGGUUGUAGAUAACUUGAACCUUAACUUAAUUAAAAUAAAUCAAUAGUGUGAGUUACCGUGAUGGUCUCUUCUCGGCGGAGUUCGGGAAGUGAACACGGUGUUGGAGUAAUGCUUGCCGCAGGUUGUCCUCUGGUUUCUCGCUCGCGCUUUGCCUCCUCUUCUCGCUCUCUUUUGCGAACAUGAUAGCCACCAUAUUUGCUAGUCGCUUGCUGCAGCUCCUCAUAUUUACCUUGCCUUACCUAUUAAGCUUAAAUAGUCUUGAUCGCGAGGGUGCGAGAUUGCUGAGUCCCUAUGGCUCACAGAUUACUAUUACACCAGAUGCAGGGCCUGAUGAUUCCGCUCUAGGUGACGCGCUUGAGCUCAAGUGGGAGUUCGACGAGGACUCUCAAUGAUACUAUGUUUCCUUUCCUGAUGAUCAGUAGUGGUGCCCUGUUGGGGACGAUCGGGACCGUGUCGCAUGUUGGGUUAUCUUUUAUUUUGGCGCCGUAGUCGGGCCAUGAGUGUUUGAAUGAUGUAAUGUUAUUUAUGUACCUUGAUUGACAUGGCGAGUGUAAGCCAACUAUGUUAUCUCCCCUUUUAUUAUCUAUAUAUUACAUGGGAUGUUGUGAAGAUUGCCUAACUUGUGACAUAUGCCUUUAAUGCGAUUAUGCCUCUAAGUCGUGCCUCGACACGUGGGAGAUAUAGUCGCAUCGAGGGUGUUACACUGUCCUUGGUGUUGCACUGGUUGCAGCAGGAGUUCUUGCCCGUGCUGGUGGUGGAGCAGAUGGAGCUGCCAUUGGUGCAUUAACUCUCCUGUUUUCCUGCAGUGAGAACAUAUAGACAGAUUAGAACAUAGUAUUAAAUAUACACAAGAUUUAACCUGCAGUGACAACAUAUAUAAAUAAGAUUUAACCUGGUGUUGGUUCCUUCUCAUUGCUAGGGCUGGCUUCAGAUUUUUGUGGCAGCUAGUGUACCUAUGCUCUGUCAAGUUGCAAUUGCUGCAGGUUAUUGUUGCCAUCCUUGAAGUAUCUUUCGGAGCUGGCUUCUCAAACUGAUUCUUAGUCUGCUUCUUUCCUGGCUUGUCUCUGAAAACUGGUGGCUCUAUGUCAGGGGUCCCAAUAUUUGGCCAUAGAUCAGGCCCAGGCACAGGAUACACAAUUGGAUUGUAGGCUGCUUGGUACAUUGGUUUCUUGAAGAAAUCACUAACAAAAUCUUCUAGAUGAAGUUUUGCCUUGUUAAUUGCAGAAACACCAUGCUUGCAAGGAACACCAGUCAUGUCCCAUUUGCUACACCCACAUCUAUGCACUUGCAGAUUUACUGCAUAUGUGCUUUCUCCACUGCUAACCUGGUAUAGAUCAGGUCCUGCUUUGAUUGACUGACAAUAUCUAGCAUGGUGUUUUGCUUCUUCUAACUUCUCAGCAUAUGUUGGGCAUAUCUGCCACUUGGCUGUCUCAGUCUUGGUCCUAUUGGCAUUGAACUUAACUAGCAAUUUUGUUCUGAUGCUAUCAACCAUGGUUUUAAUUGGUUUCCCUCUCACAUCAAGUAUCAUUUUGUUGAACACUUCACUAAUAUUGUUAACAACCAAAUCAGUUUUACAAUUCUUGUCCAUGGCAUGUCUAGCCCAUGUAUGCUUGGGUAUCUUUCUAAGCCAUUUCCAAGCUGUCUCACACUCUCUUUUCAUGCCUUCCAUUGCUUGUUCAAAACCAUGCUCAGUAUAUGAAUAACUAGCCUGGUCCAUAUACUUCUUUAACUCUUCACCUCUAAAGCCAGCUGUUUGAAAGUUCUGAUAAAUAUGUCUAAAGCAGUAUCUUUGAGGGUAAUUUGGGAAGACAUUGUUUAUGGCUUUAAGAAGGCCCCGUUUAAAUAACUAGUGUUCAAAAUAUAGUAUAACAACACACUAUUUGACAGUACUAAGCAUGGUAAAACUUCAGUAAAAAUAAGAAUUAUGAUGUAUGAGGUAUCUUUUAUCUAUCAGAUAUGCUAGUGUACUUGCCAUACUUGCCUGACUCACCACCAAGAGCAUACUUGAGCUGGGUUAGAAACCAGGACCAGCUGGCAGUGUCCUCCUUGUCAACAAUAGCAAAUGCAAUGGGAAAGAUGUUGUUAUUACCAUCUCUUCCAGUUGCAGCCAAUAUUUGUUGCCCUGUUGUCAACUUAACAAAGCAACCAUCAACACCUACAACCAAACAUAACACAUUAGCACCAAACAUAAACAAAAGCAAUGGCAAAUAUGUUGGGAAAAUAAUUAUGCAAGUACCUAUGAAGGGUCUGCAACCAUUUAGGAAGCCCUCUUUGUAAGCAUUGAGGCACAUGAACAAGCCAUGAAAUCUAGGGUUUUUACUAGGAUGAAGCUUUAAAUGCUUUGUUGUCACAAUGCAUCUACUUACAGGAUUGGUAUCCAACACAACUUGGAGGUAAUCCCUUAUCCUAGUGUAUUGUGCCCUCUGAUCUCCUUGGACAACUUCCUUAGCUGCUUUCCUUGCCCUGUAGGCCAUGUGAAUGGACACUUCAAUUCCAUGUUUUUUCUUCAAAUUGUCAAUUAUUGCCUGGACUGGUGUGUUUAUGUCAGACCUUAACUGUUGCUCACACUCAUGUGCCAACCAUCUUGCAGUGACUUGGUGCUCUCUCCAACAGCAGGACAGUUGUGGUACAAGUUCAUUUUCUUCAUGCAAAAUGUCUUCUCAUGUGCAAUUUUGGAAGCAACAAUGAAAAAAGGACAGUCAUCUGUACUGCAAACUACAAUAACUCUCUGAGCAAUUCCUAUGAAAUGAGUAGUUCCUGUUUUGUGAGAUGUGAAAUGUUAGGAGUGCCCUCCUGAACUGCUGGACAUCUAGCAAACAAAGUUGCUUGACAAAUUGUUCUUAUGGGUUUUUCCUCUCCUCAUCAUACCAAACCCUAACUUUAUUCUUUUUGGACUUGCUCUUCCUACCAUUUGGUAGCUUAAAUGGUGAAAGCUGAGCACAAUCAUUCUCUUCUUGACUUAAAUCACCUGGGUUGCUCUCCUCAUCAGAUGAAGAUGCCCAGUAUUGCUCUAUGAUUUGAUCCAAACUUGCAUGGGAUCUUGUUGUUGGCCCCUUCCCCCUCCUCUUACUUCCUCCUGUGCUGCUGCUACCUCCUAAACUGCUUCCUCCUACACUGCUUCCUCCUCUCAAGCCCUCAUCUACUGGCUCCUCUUGUCCUUCCUCCUCAUCUCUUCCUUCAUUCUCCUCCUCCUCAUCUGGUCCAUAUAGCUCUUCUACAUCAAUGUCUCCUUCAAAGUGAUGUAGUGGAUCAUCCCUAUGCCUCUUCAUUGCCUCCAACCUAGCCAAUAUGCCCUCAUCUUCAAGAUCUUCAUCCUCACUUUCACUAUCAGUGAACUCCUCAGCAAGCAGCUGUUGGAGUUUUCUUUUUGCUGCCUUGUACUUCUCUCUUUGUAUCAUAUUACUCCUGUACCUCUGAAUUUCUUCAUUUCUUUUCUGCUCCAUCAUCUGCUCAAUGUGCUCUUGCUCUUGGUCUGUCUCCAUGAAAUACUCAUGCCUCUCAUUACCAUUGUCCAAAGCAAACUCAGGUUCACUUGGGCCCUUUUGCUUCAACAAACAAGAGCUCUCCUGUGUGUUCAUUACUUGGACUGGUUGUGGUUGGGGUUUCACUGGACUGGGGAAAAGAACUCCUGAAUUGUCUACCUCAUAGACAACUGGUACACCUAUUUCUGAUAAAGGAACCUGCUCUUCAUAAGCAUGACCAAUGUUCAAAUCAACUGGUCUAGGUGCAUCACUUCUCAUAAUUGUAAUGUUAACAACAUUCUUUCCUUUACUAGCUAUGUCAUCCAACAUUUCUUCCACCUUGUCAUCAUCAGUUAAUUCUUCCAUUCCUGACACACCAACUCCUGGAUCUCUAACAUAAUACAUAAAAUCCCUUGAACUAUAGCCUUCUACCUCUAUUAGGGCAAUGAGAUUCCAGAAGGUUAUGUCUGAUAAACAGAUUGUUCUUUCCAAGUUAUCUCUGUCUAGGAAAUGGAACCCCACUUCCCAUUCUUCAUCAUCCAAGCUACAAAUUCAGAUAAAAUGCAUUUAACAGUGUUCACAAUUAUUGUUAAGAGGUCUCAUUGGUGGCAACAGAAAUUCAGUUUAGAGUGUUAAAAUCCAGUUAAUAGUGUAAACAAAAUUCAGUUAACAACAUACAAUUAUCAAUAAAUUCAGUUAACAAUUAACAGUGUUCACAAUAUUCAGUUAACAGAGUUAAAAUUGUUGGCAACAGAAAUUCAGUUAACAGUGUUAAAAUCCACUUAACAGUCUUCAAAAAAUUCAGUUAACAAUAUACAGUGUUCAAUAAAUUCAGUACACAGUUAACAGUUUACUGAAAAUUCAGUUAACAACUAACAUUAACCCUAAUGCUAGAACCCUAACACUACAACCUUAGCCGUACUACAACUACCCAAGAACACCAACCAUAGAACCCUAACACUACAACCCUAACCCUAGAAUACCAAUCGGGGAAAUGACAAAGGAGGAGGAGGAUGACUUACUCCACACCGCCGAAGGAGGAGGCAAAAUGGUGGCUGCCCGUUGGAUUGGCCUUCACUGACUGGGCGAACACAGUAGCCGCCGCGUAUUCCAACGACUUCGGCGGCGACGACGGUUGGGGAAGAGGCAGCGCGCUCGACGGAUUGGAGCUCCCGCAGAACUCCGGUGGAUCUCCAGCACCGCCGCCCGGAGCAUCCCCACCGGCAGCAACUCCCCCGCCGCCGUCCACACCGCUAGGUUUCGUCGUCGCCAUGGAUUGGAGCUGGAGGGAGAGGACGGAGCAGAUCUGGUCUGGUCGGGCGCCGUCGGUCGGUCGGUCCAGCUCGACAAGAUGUACGCUCAAACGGCGCCGUUAGCGCGUCCGUUACGCCACGCCACGUCACGCCACGUCACGCAUAUUGGGCCCCCCAUGUCAGAAACGCCCUCAACCGCGCAGAAUUACAUGUUCAGUGUAAUCUGCAAAACUGUUACUGAAUCCGCGGUGGCUUUUGCAAAUGAUUAGCGACCACGUUGUUUUCUGCAAGAUAAGCCCAAAUGUGGUGGUUUCUUGCAAUUCACUCGUUUCUGACCCUAGUACUAUGUUCUGUGCCCUUAGGGCCAUGUAAUAAAGUUUGAUCCUCCAGCUUCAACAUUGUGUACACUACAUAUUAUUCGUAGUGACAUCACAUAUUUGAUUCAUCAAUCUUUGCAAUCCAUACAAUGAAAUGGAGCAUACAAGUACUUUGUACUGUUUACCUAAAAAGCACUUUCUAUAAAAUACUACUCUACAUAGUUUUGCUUAGCGGUAUAGCACAUGGAUUUACCAACGCUUGCGGUCCAAUCCUUCAAUGUGACAAAACAUUCGGAACGUAAUUGCCGAUGCAAAGCCCACUCCAAACCCCAGGCCAACAAAUGUGAAGAGAAGGAUGGCAUCAAGUUUAUCCUGCCACAAAUUAUAAGGUUCAGGAGGGUCCAAUGCACUUGAAUUUGUAGUCUCACAUUGUUUAGAGAGCGGACUUCCACAUAGCCCCACGUUGCCUUCAAAUGAACUAUUGGGGAAUGACAAGAACUGGUUGCCCUGCGGUAUUCUUCCAACCAAGUUGUUGUAUGAAAGAUUCAACCAAGCAAGAGAGGUUAGAGAGGUCAGCACUUGCGGGAUUUCUCCUGAAAUCCGGUUCCAGGAGAGGUCCAACGAUUCCAGCUGAGACAAGUUACUGAGGCUAGAUGGCAUUUGUCCUGUGAAAUUGUUGGACGACAUAUUAACCCCGUGAAGCGAAACAAGAUUCCCAAUUGACUCUGGAAUAGGACCAUCAAAUGAGUUAUUUGAGAAAUCGAUUGCUUUGAAAGUAGUUAGAAUCUUGGUGAAAAUAAGGUCGGAUCCCUUAAGUGUGAUGGUAACAGUGUCUUGAUAAAAUCCAUGCGUCGUGUUUGUGUAAUAGCCUAAAACUCGUCCCUCCUCGUUGACAUUUUCCAUCAUUGCUUUGAAUUUAUUAAACCAUCCUUUUGGCAGGUGUCCAUAGAAUCUGUUGGAAGCCAAACAGAGUAUUUGCAAACUUGGGAACUGGUUGGUGGUUCCAUGGUCACCAUCAAGAUCCCUUAUUGUUCCAUUGAGCUGGUUGGACCGUAAGACAAGGACGCGAAGCUUUGGAAGAAUACCCAACCAAGAUGGAAAAGAACCGCGGAACUGAUUGUUACCAACAUCAAGAAGCUCUAACUGUUGACAAUUUGACAGUGAUCUUGGUAGUUCACCUUCAAUUCGAUUUCUGUUCAAAUCUAUCGUUCGAAACUUGCAUUCCUCUCUAAUAUUUUCAGGCAACAUCCCAUUGAAUUGAUUUUCUCUCAACUUCAACACGGCUAGUUUCCCACUUCCUAUAAGACAUGAUGGGAGUGAUCCACUAAAAUUGUUGUAAGACAGGUCCAAGAUAUUGAGAUGGCUUGCACUGCAGAUGGAAGAUGGUACAUAACCAUUUAAUUUAUUCUUGGACAAAUUGAGGUAGAAGCUUCUAAUGUAUCUUCCAAAGUCGGGAAGAAUGGAAGAGAAGUUAUUGUUUGAAUAAUCCAAUACUUUCCCAGGCAUUGCAGUUACCGGUAUUGGUAUGCUGCCUUGAAGCCUAUUAAAGCUGAGAUCAAGAGCAGUUAGGCGUGGCAUAUGAACAAGAGAAGGAAACUUCUCCAAAGCCGUGAACAUGUUGCGCGAGAAGUUCAAACUCUCAAGCUGGUCCUUCCAGUUCUCCCAUACCAAACUUGGUAUAACAUCAUUUAUUUGAUUACUUGAAAGGUCAAGAACGGAAACUUUAUCUAGAUAUCUCAGUGAACCCGGAAAUUUUGUGAGGUUGCAGGAUGCAAGGUGUAUCUGGUAGAUGUUAGGAAGAGAUUUUAAAACGUCACCGCCUUCUUCGUCGGCGAUUGAUAGCUUGUUGUUGGAUAGACUAAGAAAAAAGAGUUUCUCCAACCUCCAGAAAGAGCUUAGUUUGAUUGUGCCUGACAAUCUAUUUGAUUCAAGGUUGAGGUAUUCAAGAUGUUUAAGCUGAAGGAUUGGUUUGGGUAUAUGGCCAGUUAACUGGUUGUCGUUUAUCUCGACAGUAGACAAGGAUGAAUAUAGAGGGGAAGGAAUGUCUUCAAGAUGACCAGAGAGUUGAUUGUUCUUUAGGGAAAGCACUUUCAAUGCUGGAAAAGCGAACAACGAUUGUGGAAUUUUCCCUGCAUGAAAAGGGCGAGUACUAGUCAAAAUAUGUUCCAGUGCUUUUAAAAGAAAAUUAAUACACAUAUCUAUGUAUAUAUGGCAAAAUAGCAAUCAGUUUUUUUAAAAAGAAGUAAAUUAUCCAUUAAUUUCUGAAAUAUUUCAUGACUUUUAGGUGCAAUACUGUGUUCAUAUACUUUUAUAGUUAAUUCGGCCUAUAUUUCUAACAAACUUAAAUAACACUACUAAUAGGGCAGCCCGGUGCACGUAGCUUCUGCUUGCGCAGAGUCCGACCACUUUGGGUCUAUUGUACGCAGCCUUUCCCUACAUUUCUGCAAAAGGCUACUAAUGCAGAGGCAGGGAUAAACAUAAAUAACACUACUAAUGCCCCCAAAAAUUAAAUAACCACAUUUUUAACUGUGCAUGCUAACCAACAUUUACAGAUAAAUAGUACAAUUGAUAGUUUAAUAGAAUAUGUGCUUUGCAGCUAUGGUGUGGGCAUCGUCUGAUGCAGAGGCCGGGGAUAAACCCUCCUUUUCGAAAAAGGUAGUUUUCAGCUAAGUAAAUUACUGAAGACUAUGGUUAUGGUAGUUGGAAAUUAAGUUUCACUGUGAGUAGCGGAAGUGUUAUGGCCAUAAAAAGAUUCACAAAAGAACAUCCUAACCAAACUAUACUUCGAUCUACCGAAAAAGGCUUUGGCCCUGCAGUAUAUAUAAAGCAAAGACCAACGACAAUUCACCGCAAACAACACACACCCGAGGCAGGAUACAUAGGUGCUGAAGAACAGCUACAACCGGAGUGUGGCUCAUUGUGAAAUGUGAACUCGCUAGAGGUGUGGUUAGGCAAGUACUACACAACUAAAAAGUGUCGAGUAUAAAAAAUAAGAUGUUUUUUCUGCAAAAAUGUUUACUCUUUCUGUAAAUACAUGGGGUGACCUCAUUGUUUCAGGUUGAAAAACAGAGUAAUUUCCUUUUCUUAGCAGUACCGUGUAUUUAAAUAGAUGAGAGUUGUGUCAACCAUGAUAUGCAUUUAGCUAGGAACGAAAAGAAGCAUUAUCUGAGAUUGUAGUUAGGAUCUCACCAACAAGGCUGUUGUUCCCUAGCCGUAAAACUUCAAGCCGGGUCAAGUUUGCGAUUGCCGAGGGAAUCGACCCAGAAUGCCGGCAACCUUGGAUACUCAAUGUUGUCAACCUGUUAAGGUUUCCGAUCCAUGAAGGCACCGGUUGCCCGGUGUAGUUGCAAUUUUCGAAAUCCAGCAGCGUCAGCUUCGCAAGAGUUCCAAUCUGAUCAGGCACCGUCCCAGUGAAACUGCAACUCUUCAUGCGCAGGUACACCAAGCCCGUCAGAUUGCCGAUCCAAGAGGGCUGUGACCGAGAGAAAUCAUAUCUCUCGAGGCGCAAAGAUGUCAGCUGCCUGAUAUCGCCAACUGAAGAAAGCUCGGGACCUACCGGGUCCCAGGAGCUCGACCCGUGAAGCUCCAGACUGCUCAGUGAUGGGAGCUUGCUCAGCGAAGAGAGCCCCUCGGAAAUGCGUGUGGUGGUGAGGCUCAGGCUCUUGAGGGAGGUGAGGUUGAGGAGUGCGGGGUCGACGCGGCGGAUCACCGCGACGAUGCUGCUGAGGUUCAGGGAGAUGACCCUUCCGGAGGCUGCAUCGCAGGCGACGCCCUCCCAGUGGCAGCAGUCCUCUCCGUCUCGCCAUGACUGUAGGUUUGCAUGGGUGAAGGAAUGUUUGAGGUGGAGGAGGGCUGAGGCUUGGUCUGGGAGGCAGGGGACGGUGCUGUUGGUGGUGUUGGCUGAAGCGUGCAUGGAACAGGAGCAUAUGAGGAGGAGCGUGAGGAUGUGGAGGUGGUGCAGAAUGGGAGUAGCCACCAUUUUGCUGCUGGCCUGCGGCUUCCAAUGGUGUAGGACAGUAGGAGUAUGUUCCCUUUAUAGAGUGCAGACAGUAGGAAUCAUUUUGCAUGGUCUGGGUCAUGCAUGCCGUGGUUGACAGGCCAUUUGGUGAGAAAAAUAUCACGGUGGCUGUGGUGAAUAGACUCGGCAGGCAGUCAAGAUGCAUGCAUGGUUCCUGAAGUCUUUGUUUUAUGCUUGCAUUUCUGUAGGCAUUUUCAGCUGCUUUUUCUCGGAUGGCAAACCUAAGCCCAACAAUAGACAUGUGCUAGACUUCGACCAGCCGGCAGAAAUGCUCGGAUCAUUCUGUUUUGCUUUUUGACCCAUUUUUGUGAACUUCAAAGCAGAGCAUUGUGGUUUCUUUGCUGGUAGCUGGAACAGGAACACCAUGCUUUGCUGCUGAUGGCUUUGUCCAAGUGAUCACAAGAUGGUUCUUGUGUCACUACGAAAAUGCACACAUCCCAUCGUUUUCUUACUUCUGGGUAUUAUCUAACGACCAAGACGCGAAGACCUGGUAACACCAGCAUCCAUCUUCUUUGUGAUCUUUCUAUAAAUUACUGCUGAGACUUGCAAGUCGUCCUACACAGGGCCCUUUGGGUGUUGGUCCAAGAAGAACCUCAGGCAAGACAUCUGGAACGGACAGAGAGAACUCUUCAAAGGUUGAACUGUUCUCUGGACUGCUUAAUUUCCGGCUUCGAGUCAAGUUACGCAUUUCAUACUCUUCAAACGUAGUAGCUCCCGCAUGACUGUUCUUUUCUUUCUGUUGGUAGCAGUUUGUCACCAUUUGCCUGCAUGUGUCACACCAAACUGUCAUAUAAUGCGGAAAAUUCUCGGUCCAGCGAAGGGGACAGAUGACCAAGAAACAAUUUAUUCAUUACUUACUACAGUGCUUCCUUCGUCAUCAACAUACUGACGGUCAAAGCUAGGGGUGGUUGAUUACACACGUUGUCGGAGGACCUACCAUCUUUACUGGUACAAAAAGCAUUGGCUGGUUCUUCAGUCUUUGCUACCUCUAUUCCACCGUGUUACCCACAGUUUUUAACAAACCGAUUAAUUGAAUUUAAUAGAUCGGGCAUUGAGUUAGUCCUGCUAUCCAUUGAUUAACUUCAGAAUUCAAAUCACCCACCCCUCUAAUGAUCACCAGAAAACCUAAAAACCAGACUCACAUUCCCUCCAUUCACUUGAUACCAUGACUGUUUGACCUUGUUGGACUUUGAAAGCUCAAAGGGGAGCAUGAAAAGACUUUGGUUUUGUUGACUGUGGUGAUUAUAUUAAAUGUAGUCCUGCUGUCAUUUCCCAUCAGGACUGGGCACUGAUAUUAGGCUCUUACGCUGCUGGCGUCAGAGAGUAAUUACGUUGGGCUCUGAUAGAUUGCAAAGAAACUAUGCAACAGAUCCAAAGUUAAGCUUAGGCAGAUAUAAUAAAGUAACUUCGACAUACCAGAAACCCUUGCAGUUUGUUAGCAUCGGAUCCAGCCAUGUCGCCCAGUUGAUCCUCAGAGUCGUACCGCUUCCAUGCAUUGCACAUCUCGGUCACUGGCCAUUCUUUAAACAGACAUUUUGGGGGAACACAAUGAAUUUGGGAAUCUGGAUCAUCUGUAUUGCCUUCUCCUCAUCAUCACCAUCACCAAUGGUCAGAAUAGCCCUCUCAUAUUCUCUGUAGGCUUCCCAGAGUUAGCUGCCUUUUAGUCACAUGUAGACCCCCUGCAGUGACUGCAGACUCUUACAAAUCCCUCAUUUUUGAAAGAUCAGAUUGUGACCAUCAUGACACUGACUGAUCAUGCUCCUCAACAGAACCAAGGUAGUCCUGCAAAAUAGAUUAAUGCUUCGAUCAACAAGAUAAGUUAUCACUCCAGAUGCUCAACAAUCUAAACUCAACUCCACAAAAACAGUAUGGCAUACCAGAUAUUCUUGCACUCCACGUUCAUAGAGCUUUUCAUGACUUUAACAACAGAGACAAGGAGAAAGGUUUUGGUGCAGAUAACAUAAAUAUUCCAGGAAAGCGCUUCAAGAGAAAAAAGAAUCACAAACCCAAAGCUCAGUUAGAUCUCAUCCUUCGGCCAAUCCCACCACAUAUUUGGUGCGAGAGGCACGAACCUUAUCGAUAUCCCCCGGUUAUUUUUUCAAACAUUGUACUAACUGAAAAGGAAAACACUAGUGCGUAGAUAACAACCACAAAGCUCAGACCAAUCAGUCUGUCACAAAACAGAACAACAGAAAAACCAAAAGCAUACAAGAGAUUUAUCAACCAAUCAGACCAAUCGGCAUUAAGCUAGUCAGGCAAUAACUUCAUCAACCAAAAGCAUCUACCCACCUAGAAGUUCAUACAAGAUAAUACUACGUACAACGAAAUAACAUUGAAGUCAAGACAAUGAAGCAGCUCAUUUCGAGCUAUUGCAUCGUCGAGCGAUGAUCUCAUUCUGCAAGCUCAUGUAGAACUGUUGUUGUCGCCCAGUCAUAGCACUAAUAUCCAUAUCCAUAAUUCUCCCAUCUUCCAACCUUCUCUGAAGUUCUAACUCUCUUUCCCUUACUUCCAGCUUCUUUCUCUUGAAUUCUAACUCUCUUUCUUUUACUUCAAGCUUUUUUCUCUUGUGUGCUAUCAUGCCUUUUCCAUUUGCAAUCCUCUCUUCUUCUAGUGCACAUGCUUGUUCAAAGUGCUCAUCUUCCUUGAGCUCUUUCACGCUCUCCGCCACUCUCUUAUUUGACCACAGAUGAUCAGCCGCUUCCAUGUAAAUAUUAUCAUUUGGAGAGACAGAACUUUUACAAGGUUGUAAUUGUUCUUUCUCCGCCAUACUACCUAUUGGUCUUUCCAAAGGCUCAUUUUCUGGAGUAGGAACCUCCGCUUCACCAUCAGGACAACUUGAGUUGGACGUGUCUGGACUUGAAUUGGGUGUCGUCUUCUGUUUUUUCUGAGAUAACAUAUCAGUCCAUUUUUUAUGGAGUUGUAAGGUAUUCCAACAAUGCAAGAAACCAAACACUUUCUUUUCUUCUGCCUUGUACACUUCCAAUGCCUGAACAAUCUGUGCAAGUAUAUGUCUUGUUAAAAUUACAUAAAACAAAUGUAACUACAGAUUAAAGAGAUAGGUGUAUACCUUAUCUUUCUCUGUCGUUACGCUUCUACACCCAACACGGUCAUAACAUCCACAGAACUUCUGUACGUGUUCUUGAAUGGUCGACCAACGGUGCAAGAGAGAAUUUUGACUACGAUCUGACUCGAAGUUCCUGUUCUCGUGGAAGUAACAAUGCAUUCUCUGCCAAUAAGUAGAACAAGUCUGCUCAUUCCCUUGUGCUGCAUCCAUACUGAUAUUUAGCCAUGCCAACACCAACAUAUAGUCUUCCUUGUCACUGAAAUUUUCUGUUCUCUUGAUGUUUGUUGGCAUGGACGGAAUAGCUUGUUCAAUUGGCGAUUGUUGCUCCUCAGCUGAGCUACUACCAAGUUGACGGUCAUCCCAAAAUGGUUCCUUGUUUCCCUGAUUCAACAAGCUCCUAUAAGUAUAACCAUCCAUUGUGGCAACCUGCAUUGCAAAAUAAUAAAUUAGUCUUCUCUUGCUGCCGCAUAACAGAGUGCGCCAUGAAUAUUUGCAGGAAUAGUUCAAUUAUAAUCUCUGUUUGUGUCCAGUAAGGGAGAGAGACACGUGGUCUUGGUGUGAUUGCGUCAACUCUUAUCCAAAUUAAUUAAAACCAAGCAAAUUUUGCAUUCUCCUGUUUCUUUGUGAGCUCUACUCCACACCUUCCAGGAUGUCAUGUGAACCAGUAAGAGAAAUUCGUCACCCUAAGGGCAAAACUAAUGCCGAAAAAGGUCCAAAUGUGUAAGAGCACGUCCUAGUAAAAAAUUCAGUGUGCAGGUAGGCACCGCCAUAAAGCUCGCGUCAACUUGUGCAUCAGAAAACCUGGUCAAAGCCCUAGCUAUUCAGCGAGAUGAGGGCAUGGCAGUGUGCCCAAGAGAGGGUGAGACAGGGGAUGGGAUACCUGAAGGUGGGACUUGUGGUCGAGAGGCUGCUCCUGGAGGGCGCACUCCAGGGCCUGAACCUGCUCAUGCCCACAGUCCCCUCCGUCGUCCGAGCCCGAGUCCUCAUUUUUUGGACUACGAGCCUCCGCUUCAUCAUCAAGCCGAGUUGAGUUGGUUCCAUGAGCAAAUGUACCCGGACUUGAAUUGGAGGUUGUCUUCUGUUUUUUCUGAGACAACCUGUCAGUCCACUUUUGAUGGGCGUGUAAGGUAUUCCAACAAUGCAAGAAACUAAACGCUUUCUUCUCUUCUGAUUUGUACACUCCCAACGCCUGAACUAUCUGCGCAAGUAUGUAGAUAUGUCUUAACAAAAUCGCACGGAACAUGUGAAGUUACAAGCAGAUUAAAGCGAUAGGUGCAUACCCUUUCUUCCUCCGUGACCCCGUUCUUACACCCAAUCCGGUCAUAACACCAGCAGAAUUUCUGAACGUGUUCCUGAAUGGUAGACCAACGGUGCGUGAGGGAAUUCUGAUUGCGAUCCGACUCGAAGUUCCUGUUCCGGUGGAAGUAACAAUAUAUCCUCUGCCAGUAAGAACGAACUUGCUCGUUCCCUGGUGCUACUUCCAUGCCGAUAUUCAGCCAUGCCAACACCAACAUGUUGUCUUCCUUAUCGCUGAAAUUUUUUGUUCUCCUGCCCCUUGAUCUCACGGACCGAGUAGACCGUUCAGCUGGCGACUGCUGCUCCUCAGCUGGGGUACAGACUUGACGGUCGUCCCAAAAUGCGCCGUUGUUUCCCUGGUUCAGCGAGCUCCUGUAACCAUCCAUUGGGGCACCCUGCAUUGCGAGACAACAAAUUAGUCGUCUCUCCCAAUAAACUGCGGCUGCAUAACAUUGGGAGAUGACAAAUUAGUCAUCCAUUUGGGCACCAUGGAUAUAUGCCUGAAUAGUUCAAGUGUGGUCUCUGUUUUUCUGUAUCCAGUGAGAGAAAGAGAUACACAUGGCAUUUACAGUAUGUGAUAGCAUCAAUGCAUAUCCAAAUUAACCAGGGAACCAAAAAUUAUUUGUUCUUUUUUCCCUUGAAAAGAAACAUUUGUUCUUUCCCAAUUCUCCUAUUUCAGUAGCUCAUUCUGACAAUUCGUCACCCUAAUAGCGGAAUUGGCGCAGUAAAAUGUCCAAAUGCGUGGGAUCGCGCCCUAAAUCGAGAACCAAUUGUGCAGGCAGGCGCCGGGAAGCACGCAUCAGCCCGAUCAAAGCCCUAGCCGGUCGGCGGCGAGAGGAGGAGCACGGCGGGGCGCGCGAGGGAGAUCGCAGCAGGGUACCUGCACGUGGGACUCGUGGGCGAGAGGAUGUCCCUGGAUGGCGCCCCGCAUGGCCUUGACGCGGACCCCGUCGAAGCCCGGGGGCGGCCUCCCGGAGGUGAGAUUCUCCCCCUCGUGGGCGCCUCCGCCGGCGACGCCCGCCUCCGGCAGGCCCUCCUCCAUGGGCGGCGUACCCGACCGUGCGUCAGUCACAGCAAAAACGACGCGACCGAGCUCGGGGCGCUGCGUUUUUCCUCUUUUACCCCCCUUCCCGUUUCUCCGCACUUUUCCGGGGAAGCGCCGCAGGAGUACCGAAAUUCGGACGCGGUCCAUGGUUUUCCCUUUGGAACAGUAUUCACAAGACAAAAAAUAUAUUCCGGCAAAGCUCGUGAAUGUUUCCACACUCUCUUUUAUUCCUGACUAGUGUAAAAAACGCUCUUAUAUUAUGAGACGGAGGAAGUACAAUGCGUCAAGAAUAAGAUCUCCCAAUUGCUGACCAUCGGCAGCAACAAUGUGACGUGGAUUGCCGAUCGACUUCAUCGAUGUGUAAAACCUCGAACCUUGACUCAAGAGUGACAUAGUUUAUUUUUUGUGGGGGAAGAGUGACAUUGUCCGUCGAGAGAAAAUCCAAUGUACUAGUUCAUUUGAUAGCUCGUCUUUGUGCCGAUUUUCGACACAUAGGUAAUGCCAUCUUCGUUGCCUAGGUGGAUCAAAAAUUUCACCAGGGAGGUGUUUAAAAUUUGCACGUGCAUAUAGAAAUGGAGAUGAGGCAGCGACCACAUCAUGUUCGGUUGCAUUGUUGCUUAAUAUGCGUGGAGUGCGAUUCGAGAGGCCACGGGUUACAACCGGAACAGAAAGGUUUUUGUGGAUGUUCACCAUGGGCAAGGAGGGGCGUUUAACUUGGGUGGCUUUUCACGACGAUUAAUUGCUUGGUCACUAUGGACCAUCCGUAAUAAAGCAUUAUUUGAGCGGAAAAUCUUCAAGCAUCCGACUGAUGUGGUGUAUAGAAACGUUGUGUGAUUGCAGCUUUGAAAGCUACUAGGAGAACGAAGGAUCAAUCACAUCUUGAAGCAUACAUCAACAAGCUGCGAGCUACAUGUCGCCAACUCCGGGAACCAACUACAGAUACUACUGCCUGGAGAGGCACCCAUCUUGUCGCGGUUAUGACUAAGGAGAUGAGACCGAAGUUUUAUACCUCGGUGGCUAACCUCGAUGGAAAUGCGCUUGUUGAUGGUAUAAUUUGGCUACGUAGUAUGUGAUGAGCCAAAUUAAAUCAAUGGUUUAUCAAGUUGAUCGGUUAAUGCAUUGUUAAAGUGUUGCCACAGGAAAUUUCAUGGAAGGUAAAAAUACAAGUCCUAAGAAGAAUCAUAUGCUAUAUUGGACCAUGGGUGUGAUGCAUGCAAGUGAUAUAUAUCUACGUAUAUGAAGAAGUAUGCUUAGUCCUGAUGGUCAUUAUCCAGUUUGAUUUGCGACGUUGCCGGAAUAUUUAAUAUUUUCUUUGUGGGCUCAAGGUAUUUAUACAUAUGCUUAGCCACUAUAUUUAGUGUGAUGGCGACGUGGCCGAAAUACUUUAUUCAUAUAUACAAGAGUGCAUGUACGUGGAUAUGGCCUAGAUUUGCUACGUACUUAGAUCGGCAAGUAUAUUUUUUGUAGACGUAUGCUACAUGGUAACCGAAUCAAGAAAGGCGUCCUGAUUGGUUUUAGCUUCGGAGUUGUAAUCUUGUAUGCCAAGUCCAGCAUGCCAUAUAUAUGUAAGGCCGUGGACGAUUGAGGAGGAGAGUAAUCGAUCUAUCAAUACAAACUACUUUUUCACGUAUGUCUAUUUACUGUUGUUACCUCCUGCCAAGCUCUAGCAGCCCUAGGGUUUGGCGAUCUUUGCCGUUUUGUGCUGGAAAGCGGCCGGUUUUUCUCCACGAAAGCGAGGAAAUCUUUGUUGCUUUGCUCGUAAAUCAAUCGUUCGUCGUCACGAAAACACGACAAAUAUCCUGGUGUUGCGCGGCGAUUUCGCGUGCCAACAGCGCUGUGUCGCUUGUUCUGGUCCUAGACCCUAGUGCCUUGUGUCGAACCUUAUUUCCUUUGUCGUCUUCUUUUAUCUCCUUUCUCAUGAAGUUCGGCCGAGCGGUUGUAAACUGUAAAACUUAAGGGCCAAGGCCGGGCAAGCGUCUCAGCUUUAAAAAAAAAAUGUUGGUAGUACACGCCAGUCCCAUCCAUCCUUUCCCCUUCCCUCAAAAAAAAAAAAAAUCCAUCCUUUCCCCGUUUCUCUGCCACUGCCUCUGCCCGUCUGCCGACUCGUGACGGCCGGACCUGCCGGCGGCCGGCCAGAGGCGAGCCGCCGCCACCGCAAGGUAUCCAUCCGUCCCUCCCGAGUCCCGCCCCGUCCUCUCCACCACCGCCACGCCGUCCUGACGAUUCUCCGCCUCGCACCGCAGCGCCUCCGGAAUGCCUCAAGGGAGGAGGCACGGGAGCGCGGCGCGGACCGCAUCGGCGCGCUCCCGGACCCCAUCCUGCAGCACGUCCUCUCCUUCCUCCCGGCGCAGGCGGCCGUGCGGACGUGCGUGCAGGCCCGGCGCUGGCGCCACCUCUGGAGAUCCACCAGGGGCCUGCGCGUCGUGGGCCUCGACGGCGCGGACGCCGUCCAGGGCCUCCGCAAGUUCAUGGACCACCUGCUGGUCCUGCGCGACCGCGCCGCCGACCUGGACGCCGCCGAGAUCAGGUUCGACCGGUUCUCGGUGGCCGACGACGAGGCCUACGUGAACCUCUGGACCCGCUUCGCCGUCAUGAGCAGGGUCCGCGACCUCACCCUCCACAUCGGCGCCUCCUCCUACCUCGACCUCGACAACCUGCCCCUCGUCUCCCAGCACCUGCGGGUGAUGAACCUCGACGGUCUCAGCCUGCAGCAGAAAUUUCUUGACCUCGCCGGCUGCCCGGCGCUGGAGGUUCUGAAUAUUCAGCACUGCGACAUCAGCGUUGGCAGGAUAUCGUCCCGUUCCCUGAAGCAUUUGAGCCUCAGAAGCUGCCGCUCCAACUCCAAUUGCUGGGUCCAUGUCUCUGCUCCGGGCCUUGUCUCUCUGGUGCUGCUUAGAUUUGGGGGCACAACCCCUUUUCUUGAGAACAUGGCGCUGCUGGAGACCGCGCGUCUUGAUCUUAGUGACGACUUCGAUGUCUGCUUCGAUUACGACUCCGAUGAGAACUCUGUUCCUUUCAAUAAAGAUGACAGUGGUGAUUCUGUGCUCCUGGGUGCUCUCUCGGGUGCUAAACAUCUGGAGCUGGUAUCUGCAUUUCAAAAUGUAUGGUACCACUGCUCUUCAACUCCUUCUGUUAUCCCCUCUUUUUGUGGUGCACUGUCUACAAUGUUGCUAGGCAAUUAACUGGAUUACAUAUAUACAUUACCAUCCGUUGGGGUGCAUUAGGUCAUAAAUUUGCGUACGUUCUGGUUAAGGAUUGCUUGAUCAUUUUACAUUUCUGUUUUCAGUUUGUUUUCAGAAGAGAUUUGAGACAGUGCCCUACAUUCAGCAAGUUAAAGACUUUAUUACUCAAUGAGGACUGGUCCGAGGCUCCUGACUUGGAUGCACUAGCUUGCAUUCUGAAACACUCGCCAGUUCUAGAGAAGCUCACUCUUCAACUCUUUACCAACAAGGUAUAAAUCUUCGAAAUGGGCAAUUGCUACACUGUUGAGGUUAUUACCGAUUAUUCAUCUUUGUUGGUGUUCCUGCUUACCAUAGGGACCAAAACAAGAAAUGAAAAUGAAAGGAAGCUACAGUUCAGCGGAGAGACCGGCUGCAAUAUCAGAGCACCUUAAAGUAGUUGAAGUCCAGUGUAAUGUGGUCAAUCAGGGAGUUUUCAAAGUUUUGAAGUUCCUCUGUGCAUUUAAUAUACGUAAGCUAACUGAUGGCACUUUCCAUACUCUUUAUCUUCUGAAAUUAGCCUUCGUAUGUGGGAACGAAACUGUGGAAGCAAGCUGUGAAGAAUAAACUCCUGAAUUAUGUAGGAAGAACAGUUUGUAGGGGUGCCAAAUUAUUUCAGGCUUGAAAAAAAAUCUGAACCACAUCCGGAAGGGGCACAAGUUAAAACCAAUAUUAUCCAUUUUGUCGGCAAAGGAGGCUUUAGUUUAGCUGUGUUGCAUAAACAGUGAGUGUAAAACGACAUGUGUACUUGUUGAUUGGUUCUGGUCUCUUUUGGGCAGUGGCGCAAAUAUUUGAAUCAAUUAAUUCAGAGUAGGGAUACAGUAUCUUCACAUGUUGAUUAGCUUUGAAGUCUGAACAUCAACUCAAGUUCUGCAGGAAUACAUAUUUUCACUCCUUUUGUUUUAGAGUAGUCGGUGCUAAUCAGUAAUGUUUUUUAUGAGUUCGUUAGAUGGGCAGGUCCUUGCCCUUAUGGACUAAUGUUAUUCCGCACUCGAUUCUUGAUCAUGCAGAAUAACUGCAGUAUGAUAUCUCUUUACAUUAUAUAAACAUAGUGGCUACUGUAUGAUGUUCCUGCAUUAUAGUUUUGGUUGUGAUUCCUCUGUUUGCUCCUGGGAAGUCGUCAAUGUUUACAUAACGUAUUUUUUUUCUUUCAAAAAGAAUCUGUACAUCACAUGUCUAUUAGUGUAUGCCAUGAUUCCUUACUUCACCUUUCCUUUGACAUGAAACUGCUUAUGGCAUUUUCUGCAUUCUCAUUUCAUUUGGGAGCUGUUUAGAUAUAUGUUUUCUUGUUAUAUGUCAGAUUAAGCCAGAAAUAUAUUCAAAGUUUUUCCCAUAGUUCAUGUUAAGAUAAGUUGCGCCUGUAAAGUGAGUGUCCUUCAAUCUUACUGAAGUCUGUUCCAGUAUCUUCAUUUCCAUCGGCAUGAAAGUGUAACUGAGCAUUCUACUUCUGCAUAUACGCCACUCUUACGUUAUCUUUUCAUUUAUAUACAGGAUUCAGUUUUGAGUAGGGGUGAGAAGAUGUGGGGCGUCAGUUGAUUUGGCAUCUCGUGGCUAUUCAGUUGAUUUGCCAUUGUGACAAGGCUUCCAUGUUCUUUUUUACAUGUGUGUCUGAUACCAGUUUUGUCAGUUUGUUCAAAGCCAAAAGAGACCAGAAUAAUGUUGCACAUCAGAUUGUUGCUGUUGUUCGUAGAAUAGGAGCUGGAGCUAUUUCGAGCUCUGCUGUUCCUGAUCAUAUAGCUCAUGUAAUUAACACUGUACUGUAACUAUCUUGACAUGCCUACUGAAUGAAUCUCUUUUGGCCCUCAUUUUUCUUUUUUUACCAGUUGUACCCAGGAACGGUGUAGAAUCCGCAGCAGUACAUAACUUGUGAACUCUAGGCCAUAUAUCUAGUUGGAUUUGGUUUUAUCGUAUCAUGUGAAAUCUCUGAUGCAGUUUUGGUCUAUGUUUAGAAUUAUUCAGCUCAUGGACCGGUUAGUGUUCUCUUUGCAAUUCUUUUUAGCUUCGGCAAUUAACUUGUUCUGUUGUGAUGUGAUCCGUUUAUUAUGUCUCCUGUACCAAGAUUUGGAUGCAUGGAAGAGUGCAGAAAGAGGUGUUAAGAGUGUGGAAAUUCAGAGGUUACAUUUCGAGUCAGUGAAGGUCAACAAAUCAAUAACACUACAUUCACUUGACGCUUGUUUUAUAGCUUGAUAAAAUCUGAACAUCCACAUUACCCCCCAUUGCAAAAGAUACUAAAACCGAUAACAAAACUUGAAACAACCAUGCAUAUUCGCCGUUCGUCCCAAAGAACCCUUUACUUGCCCAGAACCCACCAUUCGACGGCGCGCCGGUACGGGUACCCCAACCUCUGCGCGAAGGUCGGCUCACGCUCACCUCUGCUGCGACGGAGACACUCUUCCUCGGUCGAAUUGUUCGGUCCGAACGUGGCGCCUCCACGGGAGAGCAUGUUGGCCCUCUCGGCGUUCUUGCAAUGGCGCUUGAACUCCCUGUACCGCAUCGUCUUCUCCUCCUCGCUCUUGUACUUCUGGUCAUACUCAACCAUCCAAUCCUCGAACCUCGCCUUCAUGGCCGCCUCCUUCACCAGGUCCCGCUCCUCGGCGAUCACCUCCUCGAGCGUCGCCUCGUUCUCGUCGGUCAGCUCCCAACCUGUGAGCAAGACAGAAUUCAUAUGGUCAUAUGAUCAUGUAACAUUUGACAAGGAGUUGAAGGAGAAGGGAGUAAAUUGCACGAAACCACCAUUUUAAAGGCUAGGUUUGCAAAAAACACUACGUUACAAUUCUAUUGCAGAAAACACCACGUCUUGUGUAAUCAUUUUGCAAAAAACCACUGAUCGACGGAUUAGGCUUGUUUGAGCGAGUUUAUGACAAGUGGGUCCACUUUUCGCUGAUGUGGCAUAACGUUUCGUGCUAGAUAGGUUUUAGCAUGAAUUUACAAACCAGUCCCUAGAGUUUUACAUAGACCCUCCUAAAACAAAAAGAAAAAAGCAAUCAGCCCUCCACGUGCAUAAAACAUGUAGCUGGCUUGGGGCGGCGGCGCCCAGGCUCUCCGUGCGGCCCAAGCUCUCGUUGCUAGCUUGGGGCAGUGGCGAGGUCUUGCAGGCGCGGCGGCGCUGCUCCUGCGACUUGGCAGGUGGCCGAGGUCGAAGGCAAGGCGGGUGAUGGAUGGAUCCGGAGGUGGGAUUCCAGCUCCGGCGAUAGCACAUCGGAAGGGAGGCCAGCGACGGGGCUACUCGUCAUGCGGCAGCGGCGGGGUGCUCCUAGUGAAGAAAAGAGAGAGGGGCAGAGAAUUAGGGCGGGAGAGAGACAAUAGGAAGGAGAAGGGAAGGAGGGGGCGACAGGCGCCUGGCUUGGAACUAGGUUGGGGUGGUCCGGCGAGGCAGGGAGCUCGAGCUCCUGGAGGCGCACGGGAGCAGCGGCGCUCGGGCACGAGGCCCUGGUCUUCAGGAGGAGAGGCCGCGUGGUCGUGCGUGCUCGGGGAGCCCCUCGAGCUCGAGAGGAGGCUGGAGUCUCGGUGUUCAUGGGCACAGGGCUGCGGUGGAGGCGGAUGUCGGCGGAUCCGGCGGUGGAGGCGGUGAGCUUCAUCAUGACGCGGUUGGAGGGCCUGGGGGCAGCAGGAAGAAGGUUGGGGGCUUUUUUGAUUUAAAACCCAUCUAACGCCGUCUUUCCCAAACCGUUAUGCCAUGUCAGCAAAAAAUGGGGCUCACCUGUCAUAAACACGCUCAAACGAGCGCAAUCCGUCCAUCAGUGGUUUUUGCAAAAUGAUUACACACGAUACGGUGUUUUCUGCAAUAGAACUGUAACGUAGUGUUUUUCGCAAAUCUAGCCUUUAAAAUGGUGGUUUCGUGUAAUUUACUCAGGAGAAGGACACUGAGGUCCGGUUGUUUGCUACCUGAAGAUGAAGAUGAAGAUGUCGGUUGCUUUCUGUGUUUUUGUUUUCUGAGAUACAGCUUUGCUCCGAUCAAGGUGGCAGAUAAGGCCCCCACCGCCGCAACGCUAGCACGCAGCUUGUUGCUGCCUCCCAUCGGCAAACUGCAGAGAUUGUCAAUAACUUGUUUAAAAUCAGGAAGCAAGAUCAGAACUAAUGGUAGGACUACAUUGCUUUAUUUCUCUCGCACUGUGUCUCUGACAGCUUUCAAGCAAUAAUUCGUCGCAUCAAAAUCUAGUACGGAAUAUCAAACUGGACAAGGACUAGGUCGAGAACGGAGAACAUCCAAUCUGUUGUCGGUCAAUAAGAUUAAUUUGGGGCGAAAGUAGAAUUGGAUCUUGAUUCUACAUGGGCAUGGUGACGAACAAUGUCCAUGUAUGUGAGGUGCCUACGUACCGGGCAGAGAAGCCAGAUCCCCCGGCGCCGUCCGCACGGCUCCUCUGCAGAUCGAGGAGGGAACAGGAUCAGCCGGCCACGCGGGCGCAGAUGCGGGGGGAGACAGCUAGAGAGAAGAAGAAGACGACGGCGGCGUACGGAGUGGUGGAGGAGCCGCCUCGCUGACUCUCCAGCGCGGAUCCGGCGUGAGGACAGCCUCCCCGCGGCGAGGAAUCGAAGCGGCGACAUGUCUGCACCACGCUCCGAUGUCGCUCCCCGUCCGCCCGGUGUUCGAGCUAGGGCUGUCCUUACGAGGGGGAAAAAAAAUACAUGGACCCUAAAUGGACCCAUCAUUGUUUGGCAGCACGACCUGAAGGGAAAGAGAUGCCCAAAGGCCCAAGACAGGCCCACGCGGCGAGCUGACGGCGUUCCUUCCGGAGUCGUGCCACUGCCUCCCCGCUCGCCGCCCCUCGCUCCAGCCGCCGCAGCGCUCUCCCCUUGGCCCCCAGCUCCCCCGCCGCGCCCGCCUACGAGGUUCCGCAGGAUGGGCGGCGGGAGGAAGCGGCGGCGGCGCGACGGCCCGGACGCGCCGCCGGUGAUGCACCCGCGCAACCGCUACGCCGCCGCGGCGCCGGACUUCGCGGCGCUGGCGUCGCUCUACCCCUCCUUCGCCCCCUUCGUCACCGUGUCCGGCGGGGGCCGCGCGUCCGUCGACUUCACCGACUUCGCCGCCACGCGGGAGCUCACGCGCGUCCUCCUCCUCCACGACCACGGCGUCAACUGGUCCGUGCAGCCUGCUCCUCCUCCUCCCGCCCCCUCCCCCUCAACCCUAAGAUGCAUUCCGCGCUGCUCCAUUCCCGAUUGUUCCUGUUCGGCUGAGCUGCUUAUCUCUUUGCUGUUGUGCUGGUGGAGGAUUGCAAGGGCGCUCCUGAAUUCAGCUAAUUGCGGCAUCAAACUCACCUGCAAUCUGACAUACCUGUUGUCUUAUGAGUUGCUCAUGUUGCUCUUGGGAUGGAAGUUCUGAAGUGACUUCAGGGCUUGGAGCUUAUCAGGGUUUUUGUGUGCAUAUUAGUGCUGUAUGUCAAGACAACAUUUCGUAAUCCCCAAGAGAUCAUUUGAUUUAUCUUGCUGCGGUGCUUGCAUAGUAAUAACAGUAAACACAUAACGAAGCCCUUUUGUUGGAACAAAAAUCUGCCGAAAAGGAUCUUCAAAGUAAGUAUAUGCUGCUCAUUGCAUUAUUGUUCAGCUUCAUGAGCACUUCCACCGGGAACUUCUGCAGAGAGAGUAGUCCAUGUAAAGAAUGGUGCUCAGCGUGCACAUCAUAUGCCAUAACUAGAUGUCUUUAUUCUUACUUUGGUCUCGCUAUACAACAGGUCGUAUUUUCGUGGCGCUGCGCCAAAUCGAUCCACUUAUCAUUUCUGUUAAGACAUUUCAGUAAAUAAUCACAUGUUGUUUUCAUGUUUGAAUUGUUUGCUGCAUCAAAUUUGUAUAACUAAAGUUCAAAUAGAAUUACUGUUUAGCACAACUGGCAGCUCCCACUUUUGCUAACAAUAAGAAUCACUUGAUUUUCAAAAAAAUGUUGAAGCUUAUAGUCCGUGCACACUAUGUCCUCAUAUGUUCUAUUUUUGAAACACUCAUGUGUUCUUUUCUAAUUAUCACACACUAUGGUUAGUGGGCAAUAUCACAUUUUAAUAUGUUCGCAUGAUAUAUAUCGUUCCUACUGUCAGGUGGAUUCCGGAUGGACAGCUUUGCCCUACUGUUCCAAACAGAUCCAACUACAUCCAUUGGAUUGAGGAUCUUCUCUCUUCUGAUCUCAUACCACUAAUGUCCAACUCAAGUGAGACAGUGAGGGGUUUUGACAUAGGCACCGGUGCCAAUUGCAUCUACCCUCUCCUUGGAGCAUCGUUACUGGGCUGGAGCUUUGUUGGAUCUGGUAUGCUUUUAUCCUGUGUGCUAGAAGUUCCAUGAAGCAUAAUCUAGGAAUCCCUUAGUGACCUACUUAGCUAAAUUAAAUGGAUCCAUGCUCAGUUGGAUUUUUGCUUGUAGAUGUGACUGAUGUUGCACUUGAAUGGGCUAAGAGGAAUGUGGAGAGCAACCCACAUCUAGCAGGUCUAAUUGAAAUCAGAAACGCAAAUGAAGCACCCUGCUCUUCGAAGUCUGAAACAGUUGCUGAGGAAGCAGUCAGUGAGAACAUUCCAGAGCCAGUGGACAGUGUGGUGAGGGCAAUAGCACCUAUUUUUGUGGGUGUUGUGAAGGAUAGUGAGAACUUUGACUUCUGUAUGUGCAAUCCACCAUUCUUUGAGAGUAUGGAGGAAGCUGGCCUUAACCCAAAAACUUCUUGUGCUGGAACUGCUGAAGAGAUGGCUUGCCCUGGUGGCGAGCAAGCCUUUAUAACACAUAUAAUUGAAGACAGUGUUUCUUUUAAGAACUCUUUCAGGUGAUUCAUAUCUGAUGUUACAGCGGCCAUAGUAUUAUGUCAUUUUUUUUCUGUUGUUCAUGAUUUAUUUGAAAUUUUAUAGGUGGUUUACGUCGAUGGUUGGCAGAAAAGCAAAUCUAAAACUAUUAGCAUCCAAAGUCCGUGAAGCUGGGGCCUCAGUUGUGAAAACUACUGAGUUCGUGCAAGGACAAACAGCGAGAUGGGGCCUUGCAUGGUCGUUCAUUGCUCCGAGAAAAAAUGUUAUAAGAUCCAGUACACCAGGAAAAGUCCACCAUUCUUUCAUGCUUCAGGUGGGCAUCAUGUCACCUUCCUUGAUCAUGCACCUUUGUCGCUUAUAGCUCCUAAGUGCAGUUUGCUAUAACUUUGGUUUUAGUGGUCUCUGUCAUAAAGGUUACUGUUCUCCAAUGAGAUACUUCAUCUUUGAGACAACUAUCUUCUCUAGUUCUCAUGAGUGUGAUCUCUACAUCACAGAUAGCAUUAAUUCGUGUGCCUUAAAUGUUACUCCCUCCGUCCCAAAAUAAGUGACUCAACUUUACACUAACUUUGUACUAAAGCUAGUACAAAGUUGAGUCACUUAUUU
Molecule: long non-coding RNA, 53349 nt
Filed under: Triticum aestivum (bread wheat)
Lineage: Eukaryota; Viridiplantae; Streptophyta; Magnoliopsida; Poales; Poaceae
Description: long non-coding RNA (TAES_LNC009808)
Source: RNAcentral